This 45246-nucleotide long non-coding RNA is filed under the name Solanum tuberosum (potato). Lineage: Eukaryota; Viridiplantae; Streptophyta; Magnoliopsida; Solanales; Solanaceae. The record is from RNAcentral.
UUUUUUUUUUUGUUUUUUGUUUUUUAAAUUGGACGUACCGAAAAUGUGAAUCAUUUUGAGUGAAUUGUAUAUCAAAAGACUUGAAACAUCGAGAUUAUUUUAUAUCUAAAUUUUGAGACUGUUUAUAGGUGAUUUUGAGUUGAUCGAAGUUGAAUAGUCAUUGUAUACUUCAUGUAUAAUUAAGCUAUCUUCAGCCUUUUGAGUGUAUCAUAAUGUAUAGUCAAUAUAUAGGUCAUGUAUAAGUAAGUUAUAUUGUAUAGUCCGUGUAUUUUGACAAGUUAUAUUAUAUAGUUAGUGUACACUCUCUGUGACUUUUAACUAUUUUUUAAUAUAAAUAAAUUAUAACUAUAUUUAUUAUGAAGUAAUUACUUUAUUAUAUAUCUUUGAAACUAGCCCUACCUGAUCCCCACCAAUCCAUUAUGGUGGCUUAAAAAAAUAUUAAAAAUUAAAAUUAAAGAGUUAUUAAAAAAAAUAGACUUUGCUUUUAAACGUACUAAAAAGAAAAUUAAGAGAAAUAAAUCGGAGCGGAGAGAAUACUCCGUUAUUUAUUAGUUUUAUUUUCUCUUUCAAUUUGUUUUAAAAAGAAAGUUUCUUCCUAAUUUAAUAUUCUUUUUGUUUAUUUUUAUUUGUCCACAAUAGACUUUGCACACUCAAUUAAAGUGUCAAAACGCAACUAAAGUAUCUCAACUUUAGGAGUGUCAUAUACCUGAACUAUCAAUGUGUGGGUUUUUUUUUCUUACCUGAAUUGAAAAAUAAUGUUUGUUAAAAAUAAUAAUAUAUUUACUUUUUAAAUUUUUUGAACCAAAUGUAACAAAAUCAAAAGUAUUUAGUUUUUUUGAAAUUUAUUUUUGGACCAACGUAUUGAUGUAGGGCAUUAUUUAUUAAUUUCACAUAAUUUAAUAACAUAUUUUUUAUCUCAUUUCCAUAAUAAUAUUAAUAAUUAAAGUUUCAUCAUGUCUUUUAAUUUUUAAUUAUUUUUUUUUUGCACAUACAUGUGUUGAAAUAAAAUAUGAAUUUUCAAAUAGUAAUAUUUCAUGGCAUAACCUUCCAAAUUGCUGAAUAAGUGCUGAGUAAGCUCAUUUGUCACCUUUUGAAUUAGGCCCUUUUUCAAAGACUAUACAUAAAUUAUUAGGUUUUUCAAAAUUAAGUUUAUAUAUAUAUAUAGAGAGAAAUAAUAUUCAUAAUUCGAUCACUUAAAAAUGUUGAUACGUAUGUUUUCUUAAAAUGCGAGACUUGUAAUCUCAAAAACAAAAUAAAUAACUUUCUACAACAACUGAAGAUAAUUUGAUGGUGUAAAAAAAUUUACACUAAAAAAAAAAAAAAAUACUUUCUUCCUCUUAAAUAAUUUCUUUCUUCAAAUAAUUAUUAUAUAACCAAAAAUAUUUAAUAACUAUCAACACUUAUCAAAAAAAUAUGAUUACCACGCAAAUAUGUUAAUUUAAUUAUAUAGUGAAAAAAAUAUUACAUUAAUUAUAUUAUUUGAUGAAUUUUUUUUUUGUUUUGUUUUAAAUUUGGCCCCGAUUUAACACCGACCUCCCGCAAUUAGUUAAUCAUAUGCAAAAAUGCAACUAGAGAUUUUAUAUUAUUUUUGUUUGGUCAAGGCUGUCAUUUAUCUGCACAAGAUUGCACAAAAUGCAAAGAUAGAUCCGAAAACUUUUAUAAUAUUAUUCUUUUCGUUUUAAUUGGUUUAUCUCAUUUCUAUUUGACACAAAAUUUUGAAAAAAUCCAAAACUUUUGUAUUUAUAGUCUUGAAUUAAAGAUAUGUAUAUUCUUUAAUUUUGUAAUUUUAUGUAUGUCAGGUGAAAAACUAAAAUUAAAAAAUUAUUAAAAAAAUAAUUUUUUUAUAUGAACUAAAAAAAGGUAUGAGAAACAAAUUAAAACAAAGAGAAUUUUCUGUUUCAAUUAAUUUGUUUUAUUUUCUCUUUCAAAUUGCUUCUUUCUAAAUUUUUUUUGUGAUUUUCCACCCGGUGUUCGGUAUCCACAUUGGAGUUCGACUAACUUUGGAUUCGCACUAGAAAGUCCCACAUUGAGGGGUAAAACGCUCUCUCACAAAUACGACUCCAUACCAAGGCCUUUUCCUAAUUUAAUAUUCUCUUUAGUUAUUUUUUCUUGUCCAUGAUAGACUUGCACACUGAGCAAAUGGUCAAAAACAUAUAUAAAGUAUCCCAGUUUUUUGAGUUACAUAUCUGAACCAUCAAUGUGUGUAAGCUUUCUAUAUAAAUUGAAAAAUAAUGUGUUUAAAAAGAAAAGAAACGAUAUGUUAAUUAGGAAAAUGAUAUAAUGACCCAAAAGUAAUAAUAGAAGCAUUUUUAGAUCGAUAUAUUGAUAAGUGCAUAUGUUAAAGAUUUAUUUAUUUUAACCCUUUUUCGUAAUAAUAAUAAUAGAAGUUUCAUUAUGUCUUUUAAUUUAAUUUUUUUUUUUUGCACAUACAUGUGUAAAAUUCUUUUAUGAAUAUAAUCUAACACUUCCAAAUUGUUGAACAAGCGGUGACUAAGCUCAUUCUGUCACUUUUUGUGAAUAUAAACAUGGAUACCUCAUCUAAUUAAUACUCCAUCUAAACUUGUGAGGCUAAUUAAAUUUAUUUAUUACUCCACAAUUAAACUUGUCAGUCCCAUUUGCAAUUUCUUUUCUCUUAUCACCUUAAAAUACCAUUAAAGAUUCCUCAUAAAAAUCUAAUUAUUUAAGCCCUCACAUUUAAUUUGUUUAAUUAACAUAAUCAUUUCUUUAGAACAAUGACACAAUUUGCACAGCCUGUGAUCCAAUACUCUGUAUAAAAAAAUCCAAGCCUUGCAUUCUCUCUAUAAGUUAAUCUUCUUUGUUUAUAGUUAAUGUGGAUAAUCUUGGAAAAUUUUAUAGCAUUCACCUAAAAUCACAAGUAAAUCAUUAGACAGUGAUAUCAAUGUAUAAGAAUGAUCGGAAUACUAAUAUUUAUCCAUGGUAAUACUUGAUCGAAGAAGACAAGAUCUUCCAAACAUUGAAGAUAGUUCUUUGUGAUGUUCCCUAUCUGAGAUGGAGAGAAAUAAAAGAACGUUGUCUUUCGAUUUAGGGACCAUGCUUAUUUAAGGAUUCUAAAGUACCAUUUUUAGGUUGGAAAUGUACCUUUUCAGUAAGUCUCCAUCAGACUUAAGAAAAGGUUUAUGAAUUUUCAAAUUUUCUAAAAUAAAUUCAUAUUAAUAUGUAUUUACUUUUUAGAUCUGAAACUUUAAUAUUUUAUUAGAUCAUACAACGAGCUCUUUUAUUAAUAAUAUAUCUAUGUAUAAUAUGUUAAUAUGUGAGUCCACAAAAUAGAAAUUACUAACAGAUAAAUAUUCUACGAAAGAAGAUUACAUUUAUAAAGCAAAAGUCCAUGCUUUUGUUUUUAUGAUAUGCGUCUCUUUGUAAAAGCUUUGACAAAAUGGAAUUUGUAUCGCGUAGAGUUCAACAUCAUAUUCAGUGAAAUUUCAUUAGUGGGAUAUAAAAAUAGUAGAGUGUACGCAUAUUUUAUCUUUAUCUUGUGGGGGUGGAGAGGUUAUUUUAGAAAAAUUCUCGACUCAAAUGCAAUAAAUCAAGUAGAAAAAAGAAACAAUGAAGAAACAUAACAACUAAUAAGGAAAGAAGUGCAAAUCUUACAAGAGAGGAACAAUAACAUAACAACAAAAUAGUGUGAGAACUGAACUACAAUAAACAACUACAGAUGAUGAUAGAUAUAAAAAACAAGACCUACAAGCAUAUGGUUAAUACCUACACCCAUCAAAAAUCAAGACAGCACUUCACUACCUACAAAUCUUUUCUAUCAUAAUUUGUGACCUCUCCACACCCCCACCCCCCCAAUCUAAGAUCAUGUCCUCAGUAAUCUGAAAUUGUGUCAUGUCAUGUCUAAUCACCUCUCCCUAAUACUCUUUUUGACCUACCUCUACCCUCAGAGGCAGAGUUAGGUGCGGGUUCAUGGGUUCGGACGAACCCACUAGUUUUUCGUAGACCCUAUAUUUGUAUUAGAAAAUUAAAAUUUUUUUAUGUAUAUUAACUUGUGAACCCCCAAACUCAUAAUCUUGGCUCCGCCUCUGUCUACCCUCUCUCCUUGUACCCACUAUAUCCAACAUCUCACACCUCCUCACUAGGGGAUCUUCACAUCUUUUCACAUGCUCAAACCAUCUCAAUCUCGCUACCCUUAGCUUGUCCACCACGGAGGUCACUCUCAUCCUAACUUGUUCUUAAUAUCCUCAUUUCUAAACUUAUCUCGUUUAGUAUAUCACACAUCCAUCCAUCUCAGGAUUCUUAUUUUUGCAACUUGCAAAGAGCCCGUAAAAAGAAAUGAAUGUGUUCCCUAUUAGAAGUUUUGUAAUUCCCAAAACGUGAAAACGGGAUUUUGAUCAAUGAUGGAGAAAUUCAUACAUUCAUCAACUCAUCUUUCUUAAUCAUUAAAUUUGUUUUAUUCAGCGGUAGUAAAUAUACAUAUUAAUAAAGAGUGUUAAAAUUUUUGCAAACAUAGUUAAUUAUCAUUAGAUCAAUAUUGCUAUAGGUUUUAGAGACAUUUACAAAAAGUGCUAAUUGCCUUUAAAAAUAAAUAUUUAAUGACAAUUAAGUUUUUGUCGCUAAUUAAUUGCCACUAAAAAUUAGUUAUUAGGUAGCAACCUCAUCACCUUUAUAUGAAAUUGCUCCCUUCUUCUCAAAUAUCCUAAGCUCUAUAAUUGAAAAAUUAUAACUCUAUUAUUCUUUCUUUGAUACAGGAAAAACAAAAACUAGGUAUAAUUUUUUUUUCUUUUAUCAUUUUGAUCAAUUGAAUUGAACUAGGUGGCUUGUAGAUUGUAGAAAUCUCACGUCUAGGAUUAGAGAAAUCAAGGAUUGUAUUGAUGAAAAUAAUGUUGAGUUACAACCUCCUUAUAUAUGAGAGAAUUGUAGAGUCCUAAGUUAACUAUAAUUAGAAUCCUACUACAAUACAUAUUACUACUAUAUAAUAAUAAUAAUGCAAAUAUAAAUAAUCUAAUCCUUGUUGUACUAUAAUCCUAAUCAUAAUCUAAUCGUAGUCGUAAUAUAAUCCUAAUUAAUAUAAGUAAUCUAAUCCUAGUGCGACUCUAAUUCUAGAGCAGUGCUGGAAACUCGUCAAUCAGCUUCGUUGGACCUGUUCCUUUGACAUGUUCCAAUCAUCAGCUUCCUUCUUGUUCAACAUUCCCCUCAAGCUAGUGAGUAGAGGGAACGGUUACUCCUAGCUUGAUUCGAAUACGCAGCAAAAAAAACUUUGAAAACCCAACAAAAACUUGUUUUGUCAAUGCUUCGGUAUGAAUGUGAUGUCUAGUCGUUGCUUGUGAUAGUUCAUCUGCAGAUUCAUACUCGUAGUUCCACCAGUAAAAACACUUAAGAGCGGUAUGAUUAUUUCUACCAUAGAUUUGACAUGACUCAAUAUUAUUCUUCUCCUUAUUUUCGCUUUGGAAACUUUUAUUGUUCUAGAACCUGGUCCAUAUCGACUGUUUUGAGAACAUGUUCCCUGUCCAGCAGGCUUGAGACCUGUUUCUCUGGAGUUGAUGUUGUUGUUUCCUCUUCCCCUGCCUUUUUGAGCAGAUAAUACCAUGUUGUGAUUUUGUUGUGACACCUCUUUUUCAUCUUCUCUUUUAUCAAAACUCGUGAGAGCAUUAAUAAAUUGAUUAAGAGUGGAAUAUGGUGCCUUACCUAAUAUGACAAAAGUCUUGUAUUUGAGACCUAAACCUCUAGCAAAAUUAAUUACUUUUGUUGCUUAAAUAUAAGCUUUUUCCAAGCAUUCCCACAUCUCCUUGGCAGUUGAGCAGCCCACAAUUAGGUACAUGCUUUCUUUGGUCAAGGUGUUUGAGAUCCAACUCCUUAGCAACACAUCUUUCUCCUUCCAAUCAUCAAUGGUGCCACUAUCUUUUGCAUCCUUCCUAACCGCUACAACUUCCCUAACAGUCUGUCCAGUGGAACAACUACUUUUACUUGGUUCAUAGAUGAGAUACGUCAGUUUCAUCACCUGAAUCAAUUUGGAUAUUUGUGUCCUCUUUAUGAGGUAGUUUGCUGGCUUAAGUAUAAUGGAGCAAGCGACAAUGAUUUAGUGAAGUGAGGAGGUUGACAUGGUUUUGGUAGAAGGGGCUAUUGCAAGGUGUUUUUUUUUUUUAUCAAUACUCAGAAAGCGGAAGAGCUUUUAUGCUCUGUUACCAUGUAAAAUUAGGUCUUGGGCCUAACUCACACCCCAAAAGCUAGCUCAAAGAGAGGAGGAUUGCCCAACCCUUAUAAGGAGUCCAUCUCACGUCUAGGAUUAGAGAAAUCAAGGAUUGUAUUGAUGAAAAUAAUGUUGAGUUACAACCUCCUUAUAUAUGAGAGAAUUGUAGAGUCCUAAGUUAACUAUACUUAGAGUCCUACUACAAUACAUAUUACUACUAUAUAAUAAUAAUAAUGCAAAUAUAAAUAAUCUAAUCCUAGUUGUACUAUAAUCCUAAUCAUAAUCUAAUCCUAGUCGUAAUAUAAUCCUAAUUAAUAUAAGUAGUCUAAUCCUAGAGCGACUCUAAUUCUAGAGCAGUGCUGGAAACUCGUCAGUCAGCUUCGUUGGACCUGUUCCAAUCGUCAGCUUCCUUCUUCUUCAACAUAGAUAAGUACACAAUUAUUUCUGAGUUUGGAUUUGACAAUUUAUGAUAGUUUAAUUUGAAUCUUUAACAUUAUUACUAUGAGGAAUUUUAUAUAGGUUUUGGGUCAAGAUAUUCCAGUCAAAAUGGAUUCUAAAAUAUUUUUUGAUUAUUGGAAUAUCUUAAACCAAAACAUUCUUGCAUAUAUAGUUUUAUAGAAACUAUUUUAAUGUCAUAUAUUAAACAUAAAUGUUAUAAAUCUAUUUGUAAGACAAUCUAAAUAUGAUAUUCAAUAACAAUAUAUUAAGAGAAAAAGCAUAAAAGUAUUCCAGACUUGAUCCAAAUUUUCAUUUACGUAUUUUUACUUUGUGGGGUUCUAUUAUCCUUUUGAAUAAUUGCGUGGUAAAAAUUUUGUUAAGAAUAUUUAAACUUUAAAAGAUUAAUUUUAUUUUUUGAUAAAGGGGUGCACCAAAAAACUUAAAAUCAAAACAUGCAAUAUUUAUACUAAUUCAAACGAGGUCUUAGUGAAAAUACAAGCAAAGACAUUUAUCAACAAUUGAUUAAAUGUCAUACAAUAUAAUAUUGCUAAAGCUUCUAAUACAAUUUAUUUAGACUAUUUAAUAAUUAAAAGCUUCAUGUAGGAAAAGUAUUCGCUAAACUAGUGUACUUGUCCGCGAUUCGCAAGGUUAUAAGAAAAACUUAAAUAUAUUUUAAAUUAAUUAAUUUCAUUAUUUGAUAAAUGUUUUAAUAAAUAAUAUAAUAAAAGAGAGAAACACAAAUUAAAAUACGACUUCGAUAUUACUUAUUCGAAAAAAUUGCUAAAAAUAAAUUUUCAUACUGAUUAAAAAAGUUGAAAAUAUAAACGUUGAUAUGAAAAGUUAAAAAGUUUCUCUCUCUCAAUCUAUUAUUAUAAUAUUAUCGUGGUAAUUAUUAUAAAUAAAUUUGAGUAAUAACUGUACAAAGGAUAACACCUUCUUUAAUGUAGAAAAAAUAAAAGAAACUUUUAUUUGCUUUCAAUAAUAAUAAAUUUAAUACACAUUAAUCAUAUAUUCACAUUUAUUAUGGUAAAAAGAAAAAAGAAAAAAAAUAUUACUCUUAUUAUCCUUAUUUACACUCCAUUUAUGUUGUUAAGAAGAAAAUUAAUUUAUAUAUAUGAUAUAUUUUUUUAACACUUUUAACAUAUAUUUGUUAUUGAGAAAAUUAAAUUAUGGAAUUUAAAGUUUUUCUCGAAAAAAAAAGAGAGUUAAGGAAUUUUUUUUUUUAGUUUUAUCUCUCUCUCUCUCUAUAUAUAUAUAUAAUCUUAAUUUUACUAUACAUAUAAAUUUGAUCAUUUUUUUAUAAAUAUUUUUAUAAUUCCCCUAUUUAUAGGACACCAAUAUGAAAUAUCAAAUGAUAAUAUGAAUAUGAUUAUUAAUAUAAUUUAGGAGUUAUGAUCAUCAAAAGUCAUUAAAGCACGGGACAUAAAGAUACUUGAAUUUUUAUAUUAAAAAUUAUGAACCAAUAGAGGAGCAGUAAUUGAUAAACAAUUUUACUAAAUAAUUUUUAUCAUAAACAAAUACUUUUGUAUUUUAAUUUCUGACCAAACAAAUUGUAAUAAUUAUCUUUGAAAAUCUCAAAAACUUGAGAACUUCUAAUAUUAAUAAUAAUAAAAAAAACUAAGAAUAUGAAGACUAUAAAUUUCCAUAUCAAUAAAUAUCUUUUUAUAAAUUAUACAAUAUUUUAAAAAUUAUGAAUUAACUUUGCAUUCUCAUGCUCUAUCAUAAUAGUUAUUAAAAAUUGAUUUACAUGACUACAAAAUUAUAUACACAUGCUAUAUUGAGUAGCAUACAUGUAUGUGUUGACUUUCUUUUCAGCUUUUAUUUUCAUAAAAAAACUAAAAAUAUGAAGACUACAAAGUUUUGUGUCUUCUAUUCUCUCUCAUGCUCUAGGCGCAUGUUAGUCUAAAUGUGCACUAGAAGUGAUAACCAUGGCGAGAGGGCGAGCAAAGACACAACAACCACAGGCGUAGGGGCGAGGAAAAAGGCGAGCACGAGGAAGACCUAAAAGUGAUCCCAUUGUUACGAUUGGUAGUAUGGUUAAACCUGUGCAGAACCAACCGGAACUGGUUGAAGGUAUUUCAACCUCAAUCGUGGAUGAGGGGGAGAAGAGCGGUACAGAUGAUACCACUAGCUCGGGAGUGGUUAAGAGACUACAACUUACCCCUACCGGAGUAAUAUGACAGGCUGUGAAGACUCUCGAGCUGGAGAACAAGGUGAAAUCAAUGGAACAAUAGAAAUAAUGACUGAGAUUGGGCAAGCUGAAAGGAUAACACAGAAGGGCAAAGAGAAAUCAAAUCCAAAUCUUACGACCUGGGCAAGUCUAUUUCGCAAUAAUAGAUCUACAUCGACUGGUAUGUCACUUUCUUAUAGAUCUACAUUGACUGGUAUGUCACUUUCUUAUGUUCCACCUCAAAUUUUAGAAGGACACAUGGUUGCUCAACUGGAUAAACAAAAGGUGGAACCAGAGAUCCAGAAAUGGAAAUAUGCUUUGAUAACAUAUUAUACAAGACACUAUUCUAUUAACAAUAGACCUAUCAUCUUGAAGGCUAUUACAUUAUCAAAUUCCAAUCCAUUGAGGAUAUGCAGGCUAGAUACUAUACAAGACACUAUUCUAUUAACAAUAGACCUAUCAUCUUGAAACAGUGGACUCCAAAUUUUGAUUUCAGUGUUGAGUUCCUAAGUGAAAUACCUCUAUGGGUGUUGUUUCCAAACUUACCAAUGAACUAUUGGGGAUGUGGAUCCCUAAGUAGAAUUGUCAGUCUGGUUGGAAACCCCAUUUAUGCUGAUGAGUGCACCUCUAAACAAACCAGGAUUUCAUAUGCUAGAAUGUUUAUUGAGGUAAAUGUGACUAAAGCACUGCCCACACAGAUUACCAUUAUGGAUCCAAAUGGUGAACAAUAUGUCCAAAAGGUAGAGUAUGAUUGGAAACCGGAAUUUUGUGACAAAUGUAUAAGGGUAGGUCAUAAAUGUAUUGAGCAACAAGUGGCAGCACCCCAAGUACAGAUGAGAAGAAGACAACAAAAAAAUGUUACUCAGGUAUGGAAGCAUAAAAAGCUAGUGACUAAACAAGGGACUAUUAUUGAGAGCAACAAAGAUGAGCAACAAGUUUCCCCAAAGGCAGGGUAAGAGACAAGCAAGCAAAAUACUAAUGAUAGUUUACAUUUGAGUAAUUUCCCUGAACUCUUAGUGAAGAAUUAUUUUUCCCCUUUGAGCAGUGAGACACGCAACUCGUUUAAUAGACCUCCUGAAGCAAGGUCUUUAUCUGUUACGAUAUGAAUUGGUUGUGUUGGAACAUUAGAGGGAUCAAUAAAAGAUACAAACAAAAGGAGUUGAAUAAUUGGAUUGCCAGGAAGAAGCUACAAUUUGUUUGUUUAGUAGAGACUAGAGUUAAAGUUCAUAAAGCUGCAAAAAUAGUAAAUAACUUAGCAUUUGGAUGGAGUAGUCUUCAUAACUAUAACCAGGCUGAGAAUGGGAGAGUAUGGGUGCUAUGAGAUCCUAAUUUUUAUGAUGUAACUAUGUUAAAUGAGGAGGCACAAUUCAUUCACUGUAAAGUGAAGGGGAAAACUGAUGACUUUGAAGCUUAUGUUACUAUCGUAUAUGGGUUAUAACACCAUGGAACAAAGGAAAACUCUAUGGCAAGGAAUUGAGAAAGUGGCACAAGGCAUCAAUGGAGAAUGGAUCUUGUAGGGGGAUUACAAUGCUAUUAUAUCCCAAAAUGAUAGGCUGAUGGGAAACCCUGUCACUCAGGCUGACAUACAAGAUUUUUCUCAAUGCAUUAAUAAUCUACAAUUAAAUGAAUUGGCUUGGAGGGGUGAGUACUAUACUAGGUCGAAUAAGCAAGUAGGUACUGAUAGAAUAUGGAGUAGAAUUGAUAGAGCUUUUGGCAAUACAAGUUGGAUGAUGAAAUGGGGACAUGUCCAAACUGAAUAUGAUUUGCCUUACAUAUCAGAUCACGCGCCUAUGUUCCUACAACUAGCUGAUACACCUAAAGGAGGUCCAUUACAUUUCAGAUUUUUUAGCAUCUGGACUGAACAUCCUAAAUUCUUAAGUAUGGUGGAAAAGAUUUGGAGGAGACAAGUGAAUACGAAUGGUAUGCAAAUGAUUUGGAUCAAGCUUAAGUUGUUGAAACCAAGGCUGAAAGACCUUAAUAUUAAGGAAUACAAAACAGUAAGGAAUAAUAUUGAUCAAGCCAGACUGGAGUUAAAGAGGAUUCAAACACAAAUAGCUCUAAAAUGCAGUGAAGGGUUGGUUAGGCAAGAGAGGGUAGUCCUUCAAAGUUUGGAGAAAUGGUCCAUGAUCAAAAAGAGUAUUCUAAGGCAGAAAUCUAGAGUCACUUGGAUAAAGCUAGGAGACUCAAACAUAAAAUAUUUCUCAGCAGUUAUGAAAGAUAGAUCCCAGAAGAAAAUGAUUGGUAGUAUCCAAGCUCUGAAUGGAGAUAGAUUAUAGGAUCCUAAAAUAUACAAACAGAAAUUAUCUUCUUUUAUCAAAGUCUAAUGGGAGCAUCUUAGAAAAAUCUACCAGCAGUUGAUAGAAGAGUAAUGAAAUAAUGCCCUGGAUUGGCACAUCACCAACAACUGAAGUUGUGGAAGAGGUGAAUGAUUAAGAAAUCUGGGAAGGAUUAAAAAGCAUAGCAUAGGAUAAAGCUCCUGGAAUUGAUGGCUAUACUGCAUGUGUUUUCAAAAAGGCUUGGCAGGUGGUGAAAGAAGAUGUGUACUCAACAGUUAAAGAUUUCUUUAAGACAGGUACAAUGUGUAAGAUUAUAAAUUGCACUACCAUUACUCUUGUACCUAAAAUCCCUAACCCUGUCACUGUAAAAGAUUUUAGACCAAUUGCUUGUUGUACUGUCCUAUAUAAGAUUAUUGCAAAAGUAAUGGCAACCAGAAUGCAGAAGAUUAUGCCAAGUAUCAUCUGUGAGGCUCAGGCAGGGUUCAUCCCAGGUAGAAGAAUUUGUGAUAACAUCAUUCUAGCUCAGGAUCUGGUACAAGCUUACACUAGAAAACAUAUAUCUGCAAGAUGUAUGAUUAAAAUUGAUCUCCAAAAAGCUUAUGACUCAGUAGAAUGGAUAUAUUUAGAACAAGUUCUGGGGGAAUUAUGUUUCCCUGCACAGUUCAGAAGGUGGAUAAUGCAAUGUGUCACCACUGUUAACUACACAGUGCUGGUGAAUGGUGCCCCUACUGACUCAUUUGAUGCUGCCAAAGGAUUGAGACAAGGAGAUCCAAUCUCUCCCUACCUAUUUGCAAUAGUCAUGGAGUACUUAAGUAGAAAUCUUAACAAUAUGAAGACUGAGAAGAGAUUCAAAUUUCACCCUCGAUGUGCAAAGCUAGGAAUUACUUAUCUAAGUUUUGCAGAUGAUCUUCUUCUUUUCUCUAAAGGGGACGUUGUUUCUAUGACGGCCAUGCAUAAAGUCUUUAUGGUUUUCUCUAAAGCAUCAGGCUUACAAGAAAAUAUGAAUAAAAGCUCAAUCUAUUUUAGAGGUGUGGCACAAUCUGAGAGAGAUAGAAUCCUACCGGUGUUAGGAUACACUCUGGGAGAUUUACCUUUUAAGUAUCUAGGAAUUCUUCUAUCAACAAAGAAAUUAACCUUGUUGCAGUAGCAACCACUGAUUAAGAAAAUGGCAGGGAGAAUAAUUUUAUGGACUGCAAAGAAAUUGUCCUAUGCAGGGAGAGUGCAACUGGUACGAAGUGUCUUAUUUGGUAUUCAAGCAUAUUGGGCUCAAUUGUUUUUACUACCUACCAAGGUGAUCAAGACUAUCGAAGCAUAUUAUAGAAGUUAUGUGUGGUCUGGAGCUAAUGUAAUCACCAAAAGAGCAUUAGUUGCAUGGGAUAAGGUAUGUGGUCCUAAAUCAGCUAGAGGACUUAAUCUGCUUAAUAUUCAUAUAUGAAACAAAGCUGCUAUAGCCAAACUGCAUUGGGAUCUAGCAAAUAAGCAGGAUAAGUUAUGGAUCAAAUGGAUACAUGCCUACUACAUCAAAAAUGAUAUAGUUGAUGUUAUUUCUGGCCAACCGUGUUGGAUGGUGAGGAAAAUUAUUGAGGCAGGGAAGCUGUUUGAACCACUGCAAUUGCACAAGAAAGCUGGACAGGGCAUGACUAAAACUAUCUAUUUACAGCUAAUUGGAGAUCUGGAAAGGGUGAAAUGAAAAGGACUGCUUCUUCAAAAUCAAGCACGACCUAAAGCUGUGUUUGCAUUAUGGUUGUGUUUACAUGGAAGAAUGAUGACUGUUGAUAGAUUGAUCAAAUGGGGUCUGCCUGCAGAUCCAAAAUGUGUGUUAUGCAUGAACUGUGAUGAAGAUAGAGAUCAUUUAUUUGCUAUGUGCCCAUAUGGAAUCCAAGUAUGGAAUAUACUACUAUGAUGGAUUGGCCAACCUGCAAUCACUUCUCAAACGUGGGGUCAUUUCUUAGAUUGGAUCAUCAAAUGUGGUAAAGGGCAGUCAAAGUACGCUCGACUCUUCAGGAUGGUAUCCAGAGAAAUAGUCUAUACAGUCUGGACUGAAAGGAAUCUGCGAGUGUUUGAAAAGAGAAGUCGUGAUAGUGAAUGUAUUGCCCGGGAGAUAGCUUAUAUAUGCAGUGUUAGAGCCAUGCAUGAUCUCGCUGUUUUAAUUCAAAAUUUUAAGUUUUGAGUUGUGUGCAUAGAUUGUAGUCGAUAGUGAACUUUUAUUGAAGAUAGUCAGUUGAGUUGUGGCUGAACUAUGGGUUUGUAAUGUUUGCUAUGGUGAUUAAUAAAAUCAUGUUAGUUACCAAAAAGAAUAAACAUUUUUUUUUAUAAAUUAUGCAAUAUUAUAAAAAUUAUGAAUUAACUUUACUUUCUCACGUUCUAUCAUAAUAGUUAUUAAAAGUUGAUUUACAUGACUACAAAAUUAUAUAUACAUGCUUUAUUGAGUAGCAUACAUGUGUGUGUUGAUUUUCUUUUCAGGUUCUAUUUUCAAAAAUAUCCUGACAUGAAAACAAAAUAAGUUAAUCAUACAACAACAACAAUAAUGACAAAAAUAUAAAAAUGAAGUUAACUAAUCAAAUAAAAACUUUAAAAAAUAUUUAAUUAUGAGUUAAAGAUAAAGGAAGGAUCUUGUUAUCAAUAUUACAUAAUACUCCAAAAACUACAAAAAGAAGAAAAAAAAAUCUCUAUAAACUACAAAGAGAAGCAAAAAGAAAAAACCAAGCAGUUUUUUAUAAAACAAAAUUGUGAUUCAUAAUAUCAUGAAUUCAAAAUUAAUAAUAUUGAAUGUAUAAUUGUAACAGAGAAAAAAUGAUAACCAUAUUAGGCAUAUCAAAUAGUUUACCUUGUAAAAUUAAAUUGCACAGAAAUAUCUAAACAAUCUUCAUCCUGCAAAAUCAGAUCAAAGAAUUAAGACAAAAAAUUAACCAAUAAAAGAUGAAGAAUAAGGAAAAAUGUAAAAAAUAUAAUCAUCACAUAUGUCUCAAAAUAGAUUUUUAUAAAUGUAGAUUUUGGGAUGUCAUAAAUUUGUAUAUUAAAUUACUUGAGGGUUAUGAAUAUGAAAGGUUAGGAGUUAUGAAAUUUAUAAGGAGUAAAAUUUAUGUAAUUGAAGAGGUAAGAAAAUAAAAUAAUAAAAAGAAAUAAGAGAAAAAUAGCAAUAAAAUCACAAAAAAAGAUAAAUAAGAAUGAAGCCCUUACAGAACGCCACAUCACCGUUUUCAUAUUCAGUUUUAUUAUAAUAUACAGAUUGUGGGCAUUUUAGUAUUCGAUCUUUACCUUUUUACAUUCUCUUAGUUGAUGUUAUGGGUUGUACCACUUGUAUUAGGAUGGAGGGUAAUUAACGAUUCAUGUUUCACUUAUUCGUGGAUUCUCCACAACUGUCUAUUUCUUUGCAUUUUAGGGGUCUUUUCUCAUCAAAAUCGUUUUCUGGUCCUUGUGAACGUUGUUUGGUGGAAACUUUUUUUUUUAGCUUCCAGAGAUUUCUAUUGUUUUGUUGAUUUUAAUACGUAAUGUUAUCGAAAUGUUUGAUAUGAAGUCAUUUGAAGAAAUUUAAUACACAACUCUUAACUUGUUGGUAUCCAAUGUUGGGCAGUAAAAAUCUGUACAUAUUUGUCCUUUUUUUUUGCCUGAAUGUGAUGAUCCAUUGGUAUAUAUGUCAUGUUAUAUUUCUGAACAUAUAUAUAUAUAUAUAUAAAGAACACAUUUUAUUUAAUUUAGCCCUUUUAUGAGACUUUAAUUUGUUAAUUUGAUAUAGUUCAAGUGCAUUUUGUGUGAUUCUUCUUAGUGAUAUAACCUGAUCAAGAAGGUUUCUCCGCAAGGUUCAUCCAUCGAACGUAUAAUCAAGUCGUAAGGCAUGGAGAAAAUACCUCGAGCUAAUGUUAAAAUAUCAGGUGCUCGGCGUUGAAAUCUCAAACUUUGCAUUUCUUGAAAGCUAUAUGUACAAUUUUCACUCCAGUCCAUCACCCAUAGAAAAAGGAUGAUAGGAAGAAGAUCUACUUUUCCUUAGCCUUAUCACUGUAACAAAAAUGAUCUUUAACGAUAAUUAUAAAUGACAGUAGUUUAAUUGUCGCAAAAUGUGUUUUUUAAGACAAUUAUUACUAUCAAUUACAUUUUAACACUCUAAAUCUCGUUAAAGUCUAUAGUGACAUUGGAUCCAAUAUAAUUAACUAAUGUCAAUGAAUACUCUAGCAAUCUUUGUUAAUGUGCAUAUAAAAAUUAUUUUUGUUGCAGUUUACAGCAUAAGUAGACAAGUAACUUUUUUGACAAUUGUACCAAUAAUUUUUUAUUCUUUUUUGGGCAUUGUAGCAAUGGCGACAAGUUGCUAUUAUUGGAUUCUUUAGCAAAGAUUUUUGUUCUAUAAAUAACAGUAAAUUAUUCAAAUAUUUCUGCCAUGAAAUUUAUUCUGUCUUUUAUGAGAAGUCAAAGCUGAAAAGUAUGGUUUUUGGUACCAAUUCUUUCUGGCCUUAUAUAUAGUCAACUGUCCCCUCUUUAAACUUAUCACCAUAUUUCAUUUAAGACAUUCGAAUUAAGUUAUUUUCAAUUAAAUUCUGCAUUAAUUAUACACAUCAAUCUCAAAGAGAAAACACCUAAUUUUGUAAAAACACAAAAAAAAAAAGAAGUUAAAAAUUGAUCUGAAAAUAUCUAAUUGAAACACUUCAUCAGUUGUUAAGGUGUUCAAUUAGAACAUGAUAUAUUACAAAUUGAUUUGACAAAUCUUAGAAUAUUUCUUGUUAUCGUUGAAAUUAUGUCUCCUUCAAAAUGCCAUAAAGCACACAUAAUUGAAGAUCCUACGAACAUAUUCCACUAAAUGACAUAGUGGCAAAAUACAUGCAUGCAUGAGAUAUAUAGUCAAAUAAUCAGAUUGGUUCAAGUAUGAGCUCUGAAUAUGAAAAAAAAAAUCACUAUGAGUGUCACCCUCUAACGGGCCUUGUAAUGUGCGAUCAAGAUUGGGUGGGAAAUAGGGUUGGGCAUAAACACCGGAUAACCGAAACACCGAAUCAAAUCAAAUUAUUUUGGUAUUUCGAUUUUUGGUUCGGUAUUCGAUAUAUAUUUUUGUAAUUUUUCGUAUUUCAAUUCAGUUUUCGAUAUGUAAUUUUGUAUUAUUCGAUAUUUUGAUUUACCGAAAUAUACUAUAUUAUAUUAUAUUAUUAAUAUUAUAUUAAUUAGUAAUAUUAAAUAAUAAAACUAUAGACAAAAUUAGGUCAAACUUUUUACUUUUCAGCUUUUAGCCUUUUACUUUUCAAACUUUUCACUUUUGAGAUUUUUGUUUUCAAUCUUUUCUUAGCAGUUAGCCGCACAGCCGCACAUCAGUCACUUUAUUUUCCCACUUUCCACUUCCGGCGACGGCCGAUCAGCAACAAGCCAACGACGACCGGCCGACCAGCAAGCAGCAGGCCAACACGCAGGCGACACCCAGCAGGCAGGCAGCUCGCAGCACUGCAGCAGCCGACCAGCUCACGCAGCAACCAACCAGCAGCACGCAACAGCCGACCGGCGACCACCAGCGACCGAACUAACAAAAAUCGAACUGAAAUAACAUAAAUUGAACCGAAAUAAUAAAAAUCAAACCGAACCGAAAUAAUUUAGUUCGGUGUUCGGUACACGUGGUACAAGAAUCAAAAACCGAAAAAACCGGAAAAAAAAAUCUAAAUUGAACCGAAUUACCGAAUGUCCAACCCUAGUGGGAAACCAAAAAUAAAUUAGACUACUUUUUAUAUGAAGAAAAAAAGAGCAUAAAUUGCAUUAGAGCAGUCAAAAUGGGCUUAGCCCAUGGGGCCGGUCCAACCCAACCCCGUUAUUGGGGUAGGGUUGGGAUAGGAUUUUUCAAGCCCUUUUAAAACUAGGGCUUAUAAGCCCAGCCCAUAUAAGCCUUUGGCCUUUGAGGCUUGAUUGGGGGUGGACCAGGGUCGGCCCAUGGGCCAAAACUUUUUAUUAGGGUAACUUACAAUAAUCUAACUAAUAUGUAAUAUAAUUAUUUAAAUACACGCUAUGUCGUUAUAUUAUGAAUCUUACCAGAUUUUGGUACGUCCAAAUACAUAUAUCUCGGAAUAUAUUGACUCAAAAUUAGGUUAAUAUGUUCUAGAUACACUCUAUCAAAGUAGAUUCGCAUGUAUCUAGGAUGCAUAGACAAAAUCUCGCACCCUCGCCUCCCUCCAAUCUUGCUUAUCACUUACUUAUCUCACUCGCGUAUCUGGUAUGUGAGAUACAUGCUAAUUACACUAGGCUUUUUGCUAAUGUUAUUAAAACAACACCAUCGUUUAUCAUAUUUGAUUUGAAAAUCUUCUCAUUUUCUUGAUGUUAUAGAAUAAUUAGUUUGAAAAGAAAAAAAAGAAAAAAAAAGAAGGGCUAGCCCGCCCUAGCCCUCGGCCCUUCAAGGGUUGGGUUGGGUUGAGCAUAUUCAGGCAUGUUAUUAAAACAACACCAUCGUUUAUCAUAUUUGAUUUGAAAAUCUUCUCAUUUUCUUGAUGUUAUAGAAUAAUUAGUUUGAAAGAAAAAAGAAAAAAAAGAAGGGCUAGCCCGCCCUAGCCCUCGGCCCUUCAAGGGUUGGGUUGGGUUGAGCAUAUUCAGGCCCUUUCGAAUGAAGGGCCAGCCCGCCCCAGCCCUUCAAAUUCCUUGGCCCACGAGGCUUGGGCCAGGUGGGGCUGGCCGGCCCUUUUUGACAGCUCUAAAUUGCAUGAGGAAAAAUGAGUGAGGGAAUUAGUAGAAUCAAAGAAUCAGAUUUUAUUCUCACAUCGUCAAAUGUGUAUAUAUAUAAAUAGUAGUGUUCUUACAUUGUCUAUAUAGCUCAAAAUAAAAAUAAGAUUAUAUAGAAGCAUAUGAAGAAAUGAUCAUAAAAGAAAAGGGUGUCUUACAUGAAGGGUAAGUGCCUAUUUGAUAGCCAAGGAUGACUUGCCUGCAUCAUUAAUUAAUUCUUGAGGCUAGCUUGUGAUAUAUCAUGUAUAUGACAUGUAUACAAGCAUUCUUCUUUGAUGGCCAGGCAGUCUCCUUGGCUACUCUAAUAGGUUCCUCUCAUUCAUGCUAGACUCCUUUCUUCAAGUUUUAAAUCUUAACGCCAGCAUAAUCAUUGAAAGAGUAUCUUCUUUUUCGCCACAUCGCAUCAAGGUGACAGGAUUCGAACCUAUGGCCCUCUGUACCCAAAACAUAUGCGAACUCUCAAUUUGAUCAGGAGAGCCUAGAGAGCUCUCUAUCUUUCCUUCUUUAAAAUUUAAAAAAAUAGAGGCGGAUUUAAAGUUUAAAUUUUACAGGUUUACCUUUAUAUUUUGUAUCAAUUACAUUUUUUAGGAUGUGAUAAUCAUGGUGUCUGCCUGUUUGGGUCAGUUUUCGCACACCUUAACUAAUUCCACAUACAAGAUAUUUCUCACCUCCCACCAACAAUAAGUACUAGGGUGCUAUCAUUGAGACCUUGUGGUUCUUAAUUUACUUCAUUGACCACUGACUAGGUCACACGUUGGGUGCUAUCCGUUGCAUUUUAAAAUUACGGUAUAACUUGUGCUUUUUUCUUUUUAUUUUCUAUAUGGAGACAAAUCUAAGAUUUUAUAUUGAUAAGAUGCAUAAAUAUUCCAUUACAAAUUUACUUAUUUGUCAUAACAAGUAAAUGUAAUAAUCCAAUCCUUCGUUUUGAGUAUUUGCACCCUAUUUCAUGAUAUGAAACUUCUCAUAGGUUCUCAUAUAUGGUGUUUUGGGAUUUGUUGGGAUUUGACUUUGACGGCAUUCCUGAUUCUUUUUCAUGGGACAAGCACGUGAAAAUUCUUUUUGAUAAUGGGUGAUGGUGAGAUCCAGGACUUGUGUCUGUUUUGAUACCAUACUAAAAUGUGCAACCAUUUCAUCUAAAAAUUUAAGCUAUUAAAAAAAUACACUUUUAUUAUUUAAUUAUAUUCUGAUUUGCUACCUAGAUGCUUAUAUUAUUUACUUACAUAGAAUUUAUUAAACUUGUCUUUCCUUUAGCAACUACUCUUUGUUAGAAGGACACAAGGUGUUUGGUAGUAAUGAAAAAAAGUUGGAAGGUCAAAUAUUUGUCUUGUAACAAGUUGUCCUUGUUCUAGUAAAGAACAAUUUAAAUAUAAAAAAUAAAAUAAAGACCAAAGAUUAUUGGUUUUGUUGCCUAAUUAAACCUUCUACUAAUUGUAUUCUAUUUAUAUUAUUCAGAUUUACCUAAUAUUCCCUUUUUGGUUAUCCAUUCCUCUGCUUAAUUCUAUAACUUGUAGUAGUAAUAUUUUGGUGAAAAUACAUUGCUUUUUUUCUGUCUUUUUGGGAGGAAAAAAAUACCUUAUUUAUUUUUUAGCUUAUAUGACUUUAUUAUGUGUAAAGCUAUAUAUAUCUUGUUUUAGUUGAACUAAUAUUUGCUUUUUCAUAAUCCUAUAUUUUAAGCUAAGUCACUUUGAACAACCAAGCACUCCACAUUAUUAAUUAAAAAUAUUAAGUCAUCAGAUUUUUACAUUAUCAAUUUAAUUUAGUUGAAUAUAACAAAUUAAUAUAUGAAUAUUUAAUCAGGGACGAAGCUAUAGAGAAAGCUAUGAGUUCAACGUCAGAAUUAAGUAAUUUUGGCCAAAAUUAUGUAUUUUUGUUAAGAUUGUCAUCAUCACUUAAUAUGUAUAAAUAUUAAUUAUUUAAAACUUGAUUAAUGAAUAUUUUUUAAUUUUGUUUUACUCAACUGCAUUUUAGGAUGUUUUUGUAAGUCUAAGUUAACCAGCAAGAUAUAUAAAUCUUUACUCUUAUCAAAUUGUAUAGACUUCCUUAAAUAGAUCAGAAUUGGCUAUUUUAAUUUAUUCCUAUUAUUUUAUGUGAAUGAGUCUUGAGUGUCAAUUUUUUUUACCCAAGAAGAAAAGUAAUCACAAAAAUAAAAAAUAAAAAAAUCAUGAAUAUUUCCACCUUCAAAUACUCGGGGUGAAUCUAAGAGUUCGGAUUCACAUAAAUUCAAUUUUUUUGCAAAUUUUAUGUAAAUAUUAAGAAAUUUAUUAAAUAUAUGUAAGUUUUCAAUACUUUUAUUAAAGCUCUGAUUAUUCUUAAUUCACAUCGCGUAAAGCCUAUUUGAUGAAAUAAUAUGUUCGAUGCUUGUCGUAUCCGCCUUAAUUCCUUUAACCAAACACACUAUUGAAUGAUUGGUUGACCAAAUCAACUUAUAAUAUUCUCAUGUUUCAUUUAAUUAUUUUUAUUAAAAAAUGUGUUUUAGCUUUUAUAUUGUACUUAUUAUCCGUCAAGUCAACUAAAAAAUAAUUAUAGAUUGUAUUCAUAAGAAAUAAAAUGUGUAACAAGAAAAAUAACUAAAUUGUUUACUACAACAGAUUCAAAUUAAUUAUACACUAUUAAGAGGGUGUUAGGAUUGACUUAAAAGUUGGCAAAACUUAUUUUUGAGUCAGUUUUUUAUUUCUGAAACUAUUUGACAAAUAUAAAAAUAACUUAAAAUAAGUCAAAAAUAAGUUAGGAAGUAUUUUACAAGGUUAAAAUAACUUAAAAUAAGUUUACAAUGACUUGAAAUAAGUUAAAAACCAAAAGUAGAUUUUCCCUACUUUUUAUUUUAUGACUUAAAAGUCAUUUAAAUUUGACAUUUUAUUUUUGACUUAAAAAUUACUUUUUUAAGCAUAUCCAAAUGGGUUCGAAGAAUGCUUUAAAAAUUCUUCAACAAUUAGGAAUCACGAUCAACCAUCUGGAAUGCAUUAAAAAUUAUUUGUUCUCCAUUGCGCAUAAUUUAUGUUGCACACAUUUUUUUUAGUUCGUUUUAAAAGAAGUAAUGCACUUUAAAUUUGAAAAUAAAUAAUUUUACAUUUUUAUGGGGGGAUUUUUACACAUAAAAUCGUUCAAAUUGACUAUCUAGGUUGUAUUUAAAAGUCUCGCGAGUAUUGAAUUUUUUUACAACCAUGUAAAUUUCAUAUCAAUUCAAACCUAUGUAUGUUACACAUAUUAACAUGUAUUGGAACAAAAAAAAAAUUCCUAUUUGGUGUCCGAUAUUAUUAGUAGAACUCGAAUAAUUUGAAUUUGCCCAGCAUAAGGCCCUAUUCGGAAAGAAGUGCUCUCUACCAAAGAUUUUUUCAUAUUCAGACUCAAAUCCGAGACUUCUAACUAUUAAGAAAGGAACAGUCUCAUCCAUUGAACACGUUCUUUGAUGGUGUAUUGGAACAAUUUCAUCAUUAGGUAUUAAGUGGUACUUACUCAAAAAUAAAACUAUAACCACACAAAUUCCAUUUCAAUUCAAACCUAUAUGUGUUACAACUUACACAUACUCACAUGUGUUGGAACAAUUUUUAUCUUUUUUUGGUUUUUCAUCUAAUGUCUGGUAUUGGAGUCCAACUAAUCUGGAUUCACACCACGUAAGGACCCAUUUGGGGGGAGGGGGAGGGGGGAGCAGCACUCCCUAUUAAGAAUUUUUUCAAAUCCAAAGUUUGAACUCAAGACCUCUAUUUAAGGGAUAAACAGUGUCAUCCACCGCACCACAUCGAAGUAUAUGGGAACAAUUUCAUCAUUAGGUAAAAAGUGGUACUUACUCAUAUUAGUUAUACUAAUCCUAACUUAAAAGCUACCAAAUCCAUCUAGUUCUCAUUAUACACUAUAUAUACUCAUACAAUUUAUCUCAAUUUCAUCACUACUAACCAACCUUCUUUACAUACAAAAAUUUCCUCUAUAGCAAGUCUUUAUUAGAAUUUGAGUCAUGGCUAAAAUAUUGAGUUUAUUCAUCAUGGUCACAUCUAUUCUUGCUUUUGCACCAAUAUUAUGUUUAUCUAGCAAGACCAAUUAUUAUGGUUACCUAUAUCCACAAUUUUAUGAUUGGUCAUGCCCAAAUGCAAAAGAAAUUGUCAAGUCUGUUGUUGCUAAAGCCGUAGCUAGAGAAGCUCGAAUGGCCGCCUCUUUGCUUAGGCUUCAUUUUCACGAUUGCUUUGUCAAGGUAAAUUAUUUUUAGUCUCUUGGAAAGCGUAGGUGUCUGUUUUUAUUUUCUAAAAAAUAAAAGUGUUUAGCCUAAAUAUAUAAGCUAGUCAAAUUAUGUUAUAAAUAUCUUUUCUUAUUACAUAUUUGAUAUAUAAGUCGGUCAUUCUCAAUUUAUGACUUUUCAACUUAUAAAUAUUUUUAAUAUGACUAAUUCUUUUUAUUAUUUUAUUAGUUAUUUACAAUCAGUUAACUCAGACGGAUUAUCUAACUAUGUAUUUUUUUAUUUUAUGAUCAUGUAGGGGUGUGAUGCAUCAUUGCUUCUAGACAGCAGUGGAACAAUAAUAAGUGAAAAAUUAUCAAACACCAAUAGAAAUUCGGCACGUGGAUUUGAAGUAAUUGAUGAAAUUAAAUCUGCACUUGAAAUGGAAUGCCCUCAAACUGUCUCUUGUGCUGAUAUAUUGGCACUUGCUGCAAGGGAUUCUACUGUUCUAGUAAGUACAACUACUUUAAGCCUAACCUAAAGAUUUCAAUUUCCGAUGAACUCAAUAACUUUUAUUUAGAUUUAUUUUUGUAUUAGAAAAUCUUUUGAGUAUGCAUAAAUAUAUAAUUGUGAAUUCAGUAAUUAAGACGAGUUAUAAAUUCGUGGUAAGUUUAAAAACUAUAAACCUAGGGGUUGUUCAGUUAGUGGGACAAAGAAUAACAAUUCCUGCGAGAUUAUUUUAACUCUCGUUGAUGAGUAUUAAUUAGUCUUGAAAUACAUUUUGUAUUAAAAUGGUGAGAUUAACUAUUCCAUAUAAAAAGUGAAAUAGCUAAUCUUAUAAAAUAUCUUUGUCUAUUCGAUUUCAAUCAAGUUAAAAAAGAAAAGUUAUAUAUCCUAUAUAAUUUAGUUGGUUAGUUACCAUUUUGACAAGAUUAUGAGAUAAUUCUGAUCUUAUAGAUUUACUUAUAAUUACUUUAAUCUUAUUGUAUAACUAUUUUUUAAUUUAUAUUAUUAGUAUAUAAAACUUAAGCUCGAUUAUUAUUUAUGCAGGCUGGUGGACCAAGCUGGGAGGUUCCAUUAGGAAGAAGAGACUCAAGAGAUGCUAGUAUAAGUGGCUCCAACAAUAACAUUCCUGCUCCAAACAACACAUUUAAUACAAUCCUCACUAAAUUCAACUUAAAAGGGCUUGAUCUUGUUGACCUUGUUGCUUUAUCUGGUAAAAUUUACUCUAUUAGUUUAACGUUUAUAUAUCUAAAAGAUAAUUACAAGUAAAGUGAGUAAUUUAUAUCAAAAAAUUGGUAUAACUUUAUACCAUAUCCAAUGUGAAAUAAAACUUUAAAGGAUUAUUUAUUCUUGGAUAAAACAAGUUAAAUAACAAAACUUCCCUUCUAUCAAAGCCCUUACAACUUUCAAUUAUGAUCAAGGUUAAAAUUGGAAUUCAAAUUUUUUUACAAUAUAAAAUCAAACAUAUAUUUUAGAUUAUAUAAUGUAUAACCUAGUUAUCACAUUUAAAGAAAUCAUCAUAAAUGUUAAAUAAUCCAUAAAUUAUUAGUAUGUAUAACAAUCCCUUAUAUAAUAUUGUUCACAAACCAAAUAACCUUUUUAGUAUAAUUUUGUUUUACUUUCUAUAUAUAAGUUAAAUCUUUAUUAGAUUUUAACUAGACUAGUUAUCAUAUCUAGGGCAGGGCUAGGUAGAAUGAACCUCUUCAACAAAAAAAAAAUAUUUUUAUAUAUAGUUAAAAAUAUUUUUUGAAUGUUAAGAGAGGACAAUUACCUCUUGUUUCUGCUUCUCUUUUUUUGCUUCGGGGAAAAGAGGUCCUACGAUAGGUAAUAACAGGCACAAACAAGUUUUAUGUAUAUAGUACAUGUUGAACUCCUUUUGACUUUUUCGUGUGUUUACUUCUUCAUAUUUUAAACCUUAAUUUAGUAAAAAUCCUGACUCGAAAAUUGUUGUGUAGGGAGCCACACCAUUGGAAAUGCAAGAUGCACUAGCUUCAAGCAAAGACUCUACAAUCAAUCAGGAAAUAAUUUACCAGAUUAUACACUUGACCAAUCAUAUGCUGCACAAUUGAGCACUAUGUGUCCAAAAUUUGGUGGUGACCAAAAUUUAUUUUUCUUGGAUUAUGUCACACCAACAAAAUUUGAUAACAAUUACUACAAGAACUUGUUGGCUUCAAGGGGUUUAUUGAAUUCAGAUCAAAUUCUUGUGACAAAGAAUCAAGCAACAUUAGAAUUGGUGAAAUUGUAUGCUGAAAAUAAUGAGAUUUUUUUCGAGCAUUUUGCGAAAUCUAUGGUUAAAAUGGGAAAUAUUUCACCUUUAACUGGAUAUAAGGGAGAGAUUAGGAAGAAUUGUAGAUACAUGAACUAAAAAAAUUGGUUAUUGUGUUUGAUAUAUUUGAUGUAUUUUUAUGUCAACAUUGUUGUAAGUGUUUUUUUCUUAUUUUUAAUGGUUAGUUUGUAUUCAUCCUCAUAUAUUAAGUUCAUCUUGGGUGGCCUUUGUCAUAGUGUGCUAAAUGUUAAUGAUGGUUUCGUAUAUCUACUCAUUUGAAGUACUUUCCUGGUAGAUUUUAAAAUGUAUAUUUAGUGGGUGUUUGAUCGUGUUUUAUUGUGAAAUUUGAAGAAAAAAAUAGUUUUUUUUUUCAAAGUGUAGAAUGAAAUUUGAAAGUUGUGUUUGAUCAUGAAUACAAAUUGGAGUUGUGUUUGACUUUUUAUGAGUAAUCUGGAGUGAAAAAGUGAAACACAUUUUUGUUGUUUUUCAAAUUCUUGAAAAUUCUAAAUUUUAUGAUCAAACGUGUUUUUCAGAGUUCAACUCCUAAAAAAAUGAAAAAAAAAUCAUUGUCAAACGCCUCCUUAACAUUAUUUUUACUUGGUUUUCACACAGACAACCCCCUCCCCCCCUAAAAAAAUAUUUUUUCACACUUAUCUUAUUAUUGGACAAAAUUGAAUCAAUAGCUAGAAAAGAGGUUGUGAAAAAAAACAAGUAAGGCUUGCUCAAGUGGUUCAACAUCUCUAUUAUCUACCGGUAGAUUUAAGGGUUUGAAUCAUACUGGAAGGUAAGUGGAAAUACUAUUGAUCCUCCGGGAAUUUGGAAAGAGCGAAAAAAAAAAGACACUAAUAGGCUUCUUGCAGAGAACAGAUAAGGAUUCUUGAUGAGGCUUUUACAUGAGGAUAUAGUGUAUUUAUAUGUUGGCAUUGAUCCUCGAACUAUUGUCAGUCUUAAAAACAUCCCUUAACUUGACUAACUAAACUUAAAUACACCCUCAAUUUUGCAGCAUGAAUAAAAUACACCCCCUAAAUUAAAUUCUUCUACAAUUGCUGAUUUUUGGAAAAUUAAACAAUGUAUGAGAAGUUUCAAAUAGUGAAACAGGGUCAAAUAAGGGUUAGAUUGUUACAUCCACUUGUUAUGACAAAUGAGUAACUUUGUAGUGGUAUUAUACACCUUGCCAGUUUAAAAGUUUUAGAUCCGCCUCCAUACAAAAAAUAAAAUAAAGAGCACAAAUUCUAGCAUAAUACAUUAAAAAUGUAACAAAUACAACAAUAAACAUAAAAAAAAGUUGAACCAAUGAAAUUUUAAUUCUGAAUCCGCCUCGACUAAAGUAGAAGCUAAAUAAGAAGAGAAUAGCCUAGCAUGAAUGAGAGGAACCUAUUAGAGUAGCCAAGGAGACUGCCUGGCCAUCAAAGAAGAAUGCUUGUAUACAUGGCAUAUACAUGAUAUAUCACAAACCUCAAGAACUAAUGAUGCAGGCAAGUCAUCCUUGGCUAUCAAAUAGGCACUUACCCUUCAUGUAAGACACUCUUUUCUUUUAUCAUUUCUUCAUAUGCUUCUAUAUAAUCUUAUUUUUAUUUUGUAGCUAUAUAGACAAUGUAAGAACACUACUAUUUAUAUAUACACAUUUGACAAUGUGAGAAUACAAAUCUAAUUCUUUGAUUCUACUACUUUCCUCUCACAUUUUUUCCUCAUGCGAUUUAUGCUUCUUUUUUUUCUUCAUAUAAAAAGUAGUUUAAUUAUUUGACUAUAUAUGUCAUGUAUGCAUGUAUUUUGCCACUAUGUCAUUUAGGGGAAUAUGUUCAUAGGAUCUUUAAGACAUUGGCCUUAAUUAUGUGUGCUUUAUGACAUUUUGAAGGAGACAGAUUUUCAACGACAACAAAAGAUUGUCAAUCAAUUUGUACUAUAUUUUUCAUGGGGUCCAAGGGUCGACAUUAAAUUUUACCAGAUUUAAAAUAAGACUCUAUGAGACGAGUUUGAUCCCUGUUCUCAAAUUCUAAGGUCCGCUCAAGUUUUAUGAAAGCUACUUCACCCUAAAUUUUAGCUCAUACCUAUAAAAAAGGAAUACACAUUUCAUUGAGGAGACUUCUUGAAUAUCUCAUAAACUCAUGAUAUACUCAUAGAGAGAUCAAAGCAUCAAAUAUUGUCUUUCAAAAAACUAUUGUCAGACGUUCCUAGCGAUCAAAUACAUUACAAAGAGGUCUUAAUCAUCCAACAUUUGAGAAAUAUGUUAUUAAUGAUCCUCGAAUCAUGGAAGGAGCCUAAAUCAUUCUACGUUCGAGAAAUAAGCUAUUAACGAUCCUUAAAUCUCAAGAAAACUCCAGAGAGAAGAAUUAAGGAGAUAACAAAAUUGUAGCCACAAUCUUGAUAAAUAAAAUCACGUUCUUCUUUAUAGACAGAAGAAAAGCAUAAUACCUUGAGACGUUCUCAACUUGACAUUAUUUAUUUAGUUUAUAUCUGAAUUAUUUUUCAACAUAACCUAAACCUAAUAGGGAUGUGUAUCGAUCGGUUCGGUUUUGAAGUUUAUCGAUUUUGCUUAUUGGUUAUCGGUUUGUAGAGAUGCUAAACUGUUAUCGAACCAUUAAAAUAUUGGCUUAUCAGUUAUUGAUUUAUCGGUUUUUGAUCGUUAUCGGUUCGAUUAUCGGUUUAACCGUUAAGAUUUGACAAAAAAAACAUUGAAAAUCACUUAGAAACAAGGUGACAAACUAAAUGAACCAUGCACAUAAGUUCACAAGUUACAUCUUGCUCAAAAGCAAACAUUUUUACAUUGUAGAAUAAUGAAGUGUUUGAGACAACCAGAAAUAAAAUUAAGAAACCAAACUCUAAGUCAAGGACUUUAUAUACAAAAUGGUUUAAAUAUAAUUAUUUAAUUUACUAUCGGGUUAUCUAACCCGUUAAGAAAAAAUCUCAAACCGUUAAGAACCAAUAACCCGAUAAGAAAAAAAAAUCAAAACCACUAAACCAAUAACCCAAUACUGAUAAAUCAAUAACUUUUUUUUAUUUGGGUUAUCGAUUUCAAUUCGAUUUUAAACACCCCUAUAACCUAAGCAUAAUUUAAGUAUGAAACUAAUUUAGAGUUUAGGGGGGUUAUGAUCCAUUAUCUCUGCCCCUCUGCAUUGGAUUGCCUCCUACUUUCAUCCUUUUUAAUAGUAUUAUUUAUAAGCAUGAUAUAGGGUUCCUUAAUUCACUUAAAUUGUUUUCUUUUGGUGCUAAUUAGACUAAAGGUUUCACUGCAAAUAAAAACAAUCCUUUCCAAAUUGUGAGACUGAAAGAACUACACAGUUUUGUUUGGAAUUAGAUGGAGGAUUUGUGACAAGAUGGAUUACUCAUUUUUUGGCACUACCUUUGAAGUGCAAUGAUAACAAAUGCUAGUAAUAUUCCCCAUUCCAUAAGCCAAUACUUUUCAGCUUUGACCUCUCAUAAAAAGAUAGAAUAAAAUCUAUGGCAGAUAUAUUUGACUUGUAAAAGGGCUUUACUGUUAUUUCAGGAACAAAAAACUUUGCUAAGAGAAUCCAAUAAUAGCAACUUGUCGCCAUUGCUACAAUGAAAAAAGAAAAACUCACAUGGUGUGUACACCACUUUAGUGUAUGUAUCAUACGUUUAUGCAUACACUGCGAUGACUUAAAACCAUGGUUAAUUAAUAUACAUUCACAUCUCAAUUUGUCAUGCUAGAACGUUAACAUGUUCAACUAGUGAUAUCAACAUGCUUGUAAACAUGUUAGAAUGUGUACUGUACAUAUGAUGAAUGUUGAUCCUCAAUAAUUUUGAAUGAGUGAACACAAGGAUCUUUCGAGUGAGAUUGAAACGACUAACCCUUUAUCUCUUCAAGGAUGACAUAGAGAAACCCUGUAACAGCAUAUGUGAAGGUGGCAACAUAGUAUUUGCCAUCUCCAAAUUUGUAAUUAGUUCCUUCACUUGAGAUGGCAACAUGAAAACUUCAUCAGCUUGGUUUUUGGCCACCCAUUCUUCUACGUUCCUGCAUAAAGUUUGAUUCAGCCAAUGAGUUAUGAGCUUUUGAAAUGGAUUGUAAUGGGACUCAUUGAUAUGAAAUGCACAAUUGAAAUAAGAGAAGAAAGUGGCCAGGAACAUGCAGCAAAUGAUAAUGUUAAAGUAAUAACAAAUCAUUGUCUUACUUUCAAGUUUCAACAAGUCCUACAAGAUUUAUCUAGAUAACCUUCGGUUGGAUUUCUAAUGAAAACUACAUCUUGGAGUGUUCAAAAACGAUUUCUUUUCAAAUUGGUAGCAACUAUCUGAUGCUAUUUAAAAUGCAUGACAACAGUAUACCUUUUUCAAAAUCAUCUCAGGAAGACAAUAAUUUAGUAUUUCGUGCCAACUUAUUGUUCUCUUCUUUAGAUUCUUCACUACUGUAUUUGCUUUACAUACUUGAUUAUUUUGACAUGUUUUACUUGAACCGAGGGUCUAUAGGGAACAAUCUCUCUAUCUUCACAAGACUAGAUACGUUGUUGUUGUUCAUGCCAACUUACUUCAAUAUGGCAACUACUUAUAGACUUUUAGUACAGUUCUUGAAACUUAGUUGGCGCACAUAAAAGUACGUAUCUUUGAACACCAACCUCCCCCCACAGCUUCCUCUUAUGUUCCCCUGCCCAGCAUUAAGGCAGAGAUAGAGGAAGAUAACCUAUACAUACAUGUAGAUGGCAUCAAAUGACAGAAGAAAAGGACAGCUAGAGUAGAGAGACAAUCACCUGGGUUCAAGUUCCGUGUCAUUGAUGUUUGCAGAGAACAAUAGCUUGACAACGGGGUACAUAUUAAUCUUGGUUACUGGUUCCAUGUUAUGCAUGCAAUACCCACUGUAGCACCAUGCAUUUGGGUUAAGGAGAACAAUUUGUGAAAGUGCACGUUUGGUGUGUAUAUCUCUGACAACGGUCCGAAAUGUUAGUUCGUCUUGUGCAGCUUCAAGCAAUUGACGUGAAAACAUCCUUUCCAAAGUAUACUCCCUGGAAUCACACAGUGAGUUUAUUAAUACAUCACGAAAUCAAAAUCAAUCAAUCAAUUGUCCUCAAGUUCAAACUAGUUGGAGUUGAAUGUAUGGAAUUUUUCGAUAUCCAUUCCACUCUAUUUGGGCAUAUUUCAUUCCAAUACACUGACGUAUAGUCUUUUAACUAGGAACUCGUGAUAAACACCAGAUGUAAUAUGAAACAACUAAACGUGAUCCAAACUAAUUGCAUCACUGAUUUGGAUCAUUUGCCUUCUGAACUUGGUUAAGUUUGUAUUGCUUCUCAGAAAUUGUAUCCCUCAUGUAAUGUCAAAUCUGAUAAGUCUCCUUUAACACCUGAAUAAUCAAGUGCCCACACCCAGAUUGGCACAUUUGAAUAUCUACGUGUGAUGUGGCUAUAAUAUCCUUUAUGUGCACUACUUGCAGUAACAUUGGAUGUGAUCAUUUUAAAUCUUGUAAACUUUUAACCUACAUGCAUUCAUCUUAACAUCAAAACUACUACAACACUUGUCUUAGAAUAUUUUGGGACUUAAAGGCCCAACAUUCAAUCUUACAUGACAUUGUUGGUCCCAAAAAUGCUCUAUAGAGAUUAUCUUUUACUUUGUCAGAUAUCUUCCUUAUGCAUAGCACAUCAGUAGUGGAAAUACAUGAAAGACAAGAGGAAAUAAGCUCUAUCCUGAGAAUGUCUCUCUAUCAGGGAAUAACUUGUUCGACUCUCAGAUAGGCCAACAUCUAACUUAUGGCACUAGAAAACUAUUUAGCAAUUACUGCGCCAUUGACAAAGUUACCAUUCUCAUCUAGUUUUCAGCUUUCUAAAGAGAGAUAGAAAGACAUCAACUCCAUGAAAUGUUAUUGGGCAAGAAACAUAUAACAAAAGGACACAUCUAUUUAACAAAAAUUCCUAUUUACAGGUUCCAUAUGGUUUCAAGAACCACAAGUUGGGAAAGAAGUUUGAGUUUAGAAGAAAAAUAUAAGAGAAUACACUACAAGAUAAACUAAAUCUAAGGGGGGAAUGAUAGAUGGUUACCUAAAUAGAUCAUUCAAUCCACGAACAGGCAAACAAGUAGAUAUGUUAAAUUUGUAUAGUCGAACUCCAUCAUCUAAUGGUGCUUUAUCACUGGAGCAAGGAUAUGCUCCAAUAAGAGAUGAACAUUUUGGACAGAGAAAUUCAAUCCACUUGACGUCUUUGGAAAGAUUGGAAUGUCUCAACAUAAAAGCAUCCCCAAGGCAGCCUUUAAGAAAUAUUUUCUGCUUAUCUAAGAGUUCAGUAUUCAGUUCAUAUUCUUUCUCCUUUGAAAAGCUCUCACUAAGAUUAUUAGUACAACAGCCAGUAUUAUGGCUUUUAGUGUCACAGUUUGCCUCGGAAGAAAUUCCAGCCAAUGACUUCAUUUUGUCUUCAUCCUUCAACUUUGAAGGUAUGCAUGUUGAACUAUCACCAUCAAUCAUCAUUUUAACAACUUCAUUGUUUGGUUUCACCCCAUUAUUUUCUUCCUCAGGACAAGGUCUUAAAGAAGUCACCUUGGCUGAAUUCACCUGAGAAUCAUAAGUUUGGUCCCCUUUCAACUCAGGAAAUUCACAGCCGACGAGGUCCUCUUUGCAUAUGAUAACAGAUGCGCCAGUUAUAAGGCAAACACCAGUUGUACAAGAAUAUGACUUUGCAAAUUGCAUGACUAGCUGUUCACUUAUACCACCAAACGAGCAACAACAUGUCCCAAACCAAUUGUCUGCAACAUCUUGCCAGUCGACUGAUGGCAUCUCAUUAAAUAAUCUGUUAAAAAUAAAUAUUUAGAGACAUGCAAUGGCAGUCAUGUAAAAUAAAUAACGGCAUUUCCUGCCCGACUGAGAGAAAGAAAAGCCCUACCUGAUACCCUUGGUUAACUUAGUUGAGCAACUUCUGCAGUAAAAAUGAACUUCCUCCAUAGCAGAUAAUUUCUUUAUUUCUAAUCCAACAAAGCAGAAUUAAUAAGAGUGAAAUAAAAUAAAUGAACAAGAAGUUCUACAAGUGUCAGAAUGCAAAUAAGGGUAGACUCAUAGAGUACGUUAAGCAGUGAUCAUAACUGUUUGCCAAAAACAUAAAAUCAAAGCAAGAUGACAUGGCAGUUUCUGCAUUACAAAUCACCAGUCCCUCAAUGAUGGAAUACAUAAACACAUCAAAGGAGAUGACAGUUUCUGCAUUACUGUCUAUUCCUUUUUCUUUAGACUUGGUAUCACAAGAGAAUCAAGUCUUUCACAUUCUUUUGACAAGUAGUUAACACGUGUUUUAGAACUUUAAAGUUGUAUUUUACACUCCCUAAAGUGAUUCAACAGACAUAACAUGUUAUGUUGAUCAAAUCCUGCAGUUUGAGUCUUGCUACUUGUUGGAAUACCUCACAAGCAUACAAAAGUGAAUUCUUGACAAGCUUUAUACAUAAAUAUUAUGAACUGUUUAAUCCCAUGGAAAAUUUUCAAAUUUGUCUUCCCCACCCAUCCACCACACAAAAAGGGAAAAGUCCUGCUCUAUCUUCUGCAUAUUGACAACCGUAGGUGGACUUUCAUGAAGAUCAAGAAAAAAAAUUAAUAAUUAGUUAUUGCACUCUAGUACUUUGGGGACAGAGGAGUAUGUAGCAAUAUAGUUAUAGGUUCAAUUCAACACAUAGCUUUUACAUGGAACAUAAACUUAUGUGCAAAAAUUUACUAAAAUUGCAAUACAUGGUAGAUAUGAACCCAUAACUUUAAAAAUAUAAUGAGUGCAAUGCUAAUAAUCUUAAAAUUGAGCCCAUAGAAUUCAAAUUCUAGAUUUGCCUCUGGUUAGGGAUACAUUAAAAUAGUAUCUAAGAGAUGCAGAAGAGAAGAAAUCACCAAACUAUCACACCCUUUGGUGCAACAAAAAAAAUACUUGAGUACUAAUCUAUGGACUAUGAAAAGUAUACAAUAUCAUAAUCAUAAGUUGUAAAAUGGUAAGAUUCCUUUAGAUGUAUCCCAAUGUAUCAGCCAAGCACCACUAACAUCAUCAACUACAACAUACCAGUGUAAUACCACAAUUGGGGUCUCGUGAUGAUAGAGUGUACUCAAACCUUAAUCCUAACUCAGGCAGACAGGUUGUUUCCAAAAGACCUUACCCAAUGUAACCACAAUUGGGGUCUCAUGAUGAUAGAGUGCACCCAAACCUUACUCCUAACUCAUGGAGGCAGAUAGGUUGUUUCCAAAAGACCUUACCCAGUGUAAUACCACAAGUGAGGUAUGGGGAGUGUAGAACUGGCUCAGGUGCAGCAAAUGAAACUAGUUAUGAAAAAGGAAAUACAGCAGUGAAGAGUAACAAUAGCUAAAUAAUGAGCUAACAUCCAAAUUCGCAAAUAUAAAACCGAAACUAAUCAAUUUUAAAAAAACAUUUCUGACUAACCAUAAUUCACCGAGAACGGAAAGAAAGUAUCUGAGUCCGGUUUUUCCUCCUCCGGUUCCGAUAAAUCCAAUCCUGAAAUGAGCGGAUGAUCAACAGGAAGAAGAAGAGAAAGCUUAACUUCAACAUGAUCAUCAAAUACUCUGCAAUGAACCGGAGCUUCCGGGUCAAUUAAAACCCGAGGAACUGGUACCCGAACUGAAUCCCCUUCGACGAAACAGACAGUGAGCAGAGAUUUCUCCACAGAUAAAUUGACAGUGAUUUCGGUACAAGAUUUGAUAUUUGAAUUGAAAAGGAUUAAUCGGAGAGUUGAAGUGUGAGAUUGAGCUUCCCAUGUGAAUCGCCAUUUGCUGCUGUUAGGGUUUUCAGUAGAGGCGGGAAACACAAUUUCAGAUGAAGAAGACAUAAUUUUGAUUGUUGAUUCCAUUGGGUGGAAAAUUGAAAUUUUGUUAAGAUUUUUUUGGGCCCAUCUUACAUGGAUUUUCAUUUUUAGCCCAAUGGAUAAAUAAGAAAAUUUGGCAUGAUUUAGAAGGGGAAACUUUCGCAAAUAGCCACUAAAAUAAUUUUUAAUUAUGCUUCAUAACUAGGGGUGCGCAUCGGUCGGUUCGGUUCGGUUUUAGGUGUUAUUGGUUCGGUUUAUCGGUUUUCGGUUUGUAAAUACGUCAAACCGAUAACCAAACCAAUAACAUAUUUCUUAUCGGUUUAUGGUACUUAACGAUUCGGUUUUUGGUUUAACCAAUAAGAAAAUACUCAUAUAUAUUAUAAACACAAUAAGAAAAUUUUCAAAUAAACCAUAUGAUUUUUCCAGCAUUUGGCAUGAAAGUAAUAAUCAUAAAAGUAACAAUCAUUUUCUUGCAAGUUUAGACACUAGACACAUUCAAAGGAAAAAGUGUGAAAGUAACAAUCGUUUAACCAUUAACAAAAAGUGUGAAAGUAACAAUCGUUUAACCAUUAACAAAAAGUGUGAAAGUAACAAUCGUUUAACCAUUAACAAAAAGUGUGAAAGUAACAAUCGUUUAACCAUUAACAAUAAGACUAGUAAAUUUAGUAUAGUCUUAUUGGGUUAUUAGUUUAACCAUUAACAAAAAUUAUAAAACCGGAAACCGAACCAAUAACCCAAUAAAAAAAUUUGCAAAACCGUUUAAAAACCGUUAGCCCAAUAACCCAAUAUCAAUAAACCAAUAGUGUUUUUUCGGUUCGGUUUAUUGGUUAAAUCGGUUUUUGCACACCCCUAUUCAUAACUAUAGUUUGCUAAUUACGAUACAUAGCUACAUGUUAGAGGAAUGAGAGUGGCGAGCGAGUUGUAUAUGUAUAUUUGUUGAAUUGUAUAUGUAUACCUAUCAGAUAAUUGUAUAUAUGUAACGGAUAUACAUAUGUAUUUGUAAAUCUAGCGAGCAAGAUUGGGAGAGGGAGGAGAGAGACGAGCAAGAGAGGUGAUUGCAUUUGUAUAUUUGUCAUAUAAUUAUAUAUGUAUAUGUAUAAUUGUAUUUGUAUAAUUUGUAUUUGCACAUGUAUAAGCUAGGAGAGACGCGAGAGAGGAGAGAGGCGCACGUAAUUAUAGCUAAAAUUAAGCUGAAAGCGAUAAUUAAUUCAAACUAUACCUAUGUAAGUUAAUUAAUUUUCUCAUUUAGAUAUAUUUGCACUUUAAUGAACUAUGGGCUUUCCCAUUCAUUUGGAAAUUUGACAAAUGUUGAGAUUCCUCAACUUGAGCAACAAUUUCAGUGACCUAACUAAGCUUCCCGAUACCAUUGGUGAUUUACUAGAGACCCGAUCUCUACUAACAGGAGAGCCUCCAUCUCAAAAUACUGUCGGUGCUAAGUAAACUCCCAAUGAAAAUAAGAUAAAAAUCUAAAGGAACAAACAAAUUCAGGAACUACCUAAUAAAAUUAGCCUGCUUGACAACUAACUAUGCUUAAGUUGGACAAAAACCCUCUUGUCAUUGACACCUCCACAUGAAGUUGUAGUAUUUUUUUUCAUUGAAAACCGAUACAACCUCCAACCUAUUGGGAUAUCAUUAAAGCUCUAUAUAUAAGACAGUGUUUUUUCCUUGAGCAGAAAAAAACUUUUUUUUUUUUAAAUUCUUAACCAAAAUCUCUGACAAAAGUUGUCGUAUGAUUUUCAGGAGCGAUUUUCUUCUGACAAAAGUUGUCGUAUGUUAAAAAAAAUAAAAAUCGCUGCUAAGAUCGCUGCCAAGGUAGCGAUUUUCUCAAAAAAAAAAUAUUUUUUUCUUGAUUUUAGUUAAGAAUUUAAAAAAAAAAUAAAAAAUUCUUAAUUUAAUAUUCUUUUAUUAUUAUUUAUGAUAUAUAAUUCAAUUUUUCUCAUGCUUCAACAAUUUUAUUGAGUAUACUGUCCGUCUUGUUUAUCAUUUUUAUAUUAUUAAUAAUUAACAAUAGACAUGAAAAUAAUAGCACCAGGCAUGAAAAACGCUACCCCUGCAGCGAUGUGUAAGGAAAAAAAAUAUUCUGACUUACAACAGCGAUUUUUUUUAUUUUUUUUUACGAAAUCGCUGCUGUGGCAGCGAUUUUUAAUAAAAAAAAUAAAUUACAAAAAUUCUAAAAGGGAAGCGAUUUUUCGUCAUUGUGUCAGAGGGAAAUCGCUUCGUCAGGAGCGAUUUUGCCCUUUUAGUUUUAAAAAAAUUUGAUGUGCCCUUUUAGAAUUUUUGACAAUUUUUUUUGUCCUUUUGGCUCCGGACUCAAAUAAUAGUCCACAGUCACAGGCUGUGUAAGUUGUGUCAUUGUUCUAAAAUACUGAUUAAGUUAAUUAAACAAAUUAAAUGUGAGGGCCUACCUCCAUUCUUUGCUUUAUUCUGGUGAAAACAGAUUGAUCUUUAAAUAAUUAUAUUUUUAUUAGGAAUCAUUAAUUGUAUUUUAAGGUGAUAGAAAAAAGAAAUUGCAAUAAAUAAAUUUAAAAAGCCUCACAAGAAUAUAUUUUUCUAAUGGACUUGCAUAUGUAAGACUUCUUUAAUUAGUCUUAAAAAAUAAUCACAUGAUUCAGUGCAUGUACAUCACAAUCACAUACAAGUUGGAGUUAUAAGGUAUUCAACUAUUUUUUAGAGUUUCAAGUUCAAAAUUUUCUAUAUGUUUUUCCGAUUAAAUUGUUACACGAAUUUGCUUUCUACAUAUUAUUUUGAUCGAAUUUAUUAUAUGAAUUUAUCUACUAUGAUUUCUUUCACAUAUAUAAUUUACGGAUUAUUAUACUGAAUGAAAAUUUAUCUUAUGCACACAACAAAGAAUAGCAUUUUUGGAUUCCUUUGUUAUUUAAAAAAAAAGGUAUUCAACUACUCUACUCAAUAAUUCAUAUGUUAAUUGAUAUCUCAAGCGAUAACCAAGACCUACUUUUGAUAUCAUAAAUUUUAUUUUAAUUAUACUUAACAUCCUUUUCAAUAAAUUAAUAAUGUCAUUAUCAAUAUAAUAUUCUAAAACAAACUAAGAUGAUCUUAACAACUUUAAUUUUAAAAGUCUCCAUUUUCCAACCAAAGACCAACCAAAUCCUUCCACCAAAGAUAUUAAAAUAAUAAGAGAAAAAAAAAAUGAAAACACGGAUGAGAAGAUAUAUUGAGUACACUCUCAUGGUAUGAAGGGAAUUAUUUUCAUGGAAAGUAAUUUUUGAAAAAUAUGUAGGUUUUUAACAUAUUUUUUAGUGUUUGGUAAAUAAAUAAAUUUAAAAUUAUUUCAAGAAUAUUUAUAUAUAAUCUAACAAAAUACUAUAAAAGUGACAGUGGGUGGAGAAUGAGGCCUCGAGGGUGAUAGGGGUAGGAUGAUCAAGGCAUGGAGGUUAAGGGUUUACCCCGCAAUGUUGUUGGGUGGGUGGGGAGGAUAAUAAAGUUAAUAUGUAUAAUAACUUAUAUAUACAUAUCUGAUAUCUGCUUUGGAAACCCGACUAAUCGAGUUCAUCUAGGAAAGUCACUCUAUUGCAUAUUAAAAUGAUAUCAUUAAAUACAAAUUUUCUAAUUAAGAAUAGAGAGAUACUUAUAACUUUUCUAUAACUUUUGAAGGUUAAAAUACCCAUGUGUAUAAUAACUUGUAUAUGUACCAACAAGGUUGUGGUGGUGUGGUAAGGACUCUUUCAUUCUUAAUAGGAGGUCUCAGAUUUGAGUCUUCCUGGAUACGGAGUCGUCUUUGUUAGGGAGCGUCCCUCCAAUACGGAUAUCAGACACCGGAUAGAAAAACGUAUAUAUAUGCAACAUAGCUUUGAAAGAGACAAUUAACCAUGCUUAUUAAUUAUUCUCAUUAGACAAAAUUAUUUGCUAGGUUGUUAAUUUUGAUUGUGUACAUACAUUAUACAUCAUGGUUGUCCUCAAUUAUUGUCUCUUAGAAUUUGUUAGCCUUCUCAAACCUUUUUAUUAAUAUAAUAAAUUAGAGGGAAAUAGGGAAGAGGAGGAAAAUAAUCUAAAUAGUGAUAGUAAAUUUGAACACACUUAUUAUAUAAGAGACUCCUAUCAAUAUCACUAAACUUUAAGUCAUGAUUUUCAACAACUUGCAUAUAUUUAAAUGGGAGACAUCCCCUUAAGCUAUAAAUUUGAUCCUUAUUAUAAAAUAAAAUAUGUCAAAUUAAUAGGAAAGGUACCAUAAUGAUGCUGCAUAGACUGAGCCAUCAUUUUCUUCAAGUGGAUGAUGGAUGACACACUACAUUAUAUAUACUACUAUAUAGUUUUUGUUGAGAGGUUCAUGAGGUCAUCUAAUUCAAAAUUUGCAAGUUUCUUGAGUACAACCCAUUGAUUCAUUUAUAAAAGAAAGAGAUAAUCAAAGCACCUCCUAGAUUAUGACCGAAAUCUCAGAAACACACUUUAACUAAACUAAGAUCCUACCACUCCCCCACCCCCACCCCCCAAAUCCAUUUUUUUUUUGUAAUUUUAGUACACCUUUUUGGCUUAUGUGGCAUCCAAACAUAUCCCAUGCGGCUCAAUUACGUGGAGUCACAUAGUGUUUCACGUAAGUCAAAAGGUAUAUAAAAUUACAAAAAAAGAGUUUCAGGGGUAAUAAGACCUUAGUUUAGUUAAUGAUGUGUAUCUCUGAGAUUUCGGUUAUAGUCUAGGGGUGCUUAUGCUAAAAGAAAAUAAAAAAUUUGAAACUUUGGAUUAUUCCCUUUUAAAAAUUGUGUCACUCACCAUAUUAUCUCCUAUCUAGAAAUAGUUAGGUCUAGUGUCACUUUGUUGUAUUGUCUCCAUUUUUUUAAAAAUAUUUUGCCAAUGAUUUAACCCUAUACUCAGCCAUAUUUUAUGUGUAAUCCUUUUUCAGAAGGUCCAAGAGGUUUUCAACCCUUCAAUUAAUUAAAGGGUUUAUAAAUAAAUAAAAGCCAUCAAUCAAUUUUGCGAGUAAAUUUUAUCUAGACACUUGAACUAUUACAGAUUUCAACUAAACAUCUAAGUACAUGAUAAAAUAUUUAUGUUAGACAAUUUUGAUUCAAAUUUCAGUAAAAUGAAUUUGUACAUGUCCUCAAGUGUUUAUUAUGUAGUUAAGUUUACUACAUAAAUGACAACUAUUUUAAUUAUACACAUCAACCUCAAUUGGAAUAUGCUUGUAUGAUUAAAACAAGCGAUAUAUUUUAAGUGAUUAAUUUAUUUACAUAAUGAGUACUUGAGAACAUAUACAAAAGUUUUUCAAAACAUUAAACUGAAAGUGUCAAAUAGAAACACUUUAUCAGAUGUUCAAGUACUCAAUUAAAACAAACCAUAAUUUGAAGGUCUAAAUGAAAUUCACUUGAAAAGUUCAAAAGGUUAAAAGGUUAUCGAUGUAUUAAUAAGCCUAAAAUUCAUAUUAUUGCGAGUGCACCAUAUGCUAUGCACCAAUAAUAUUUCAAUUCCAAACUGAUCUAAAACCAUGUCUGGGCAUCCCAAGGCUCAAAUCGAAUCAUACCAAUAAGUCAUAAAUCCUAAUAUCAAGCUAUAAACUAAUUAUGUCCAACCAGAAAAUGAAAGUGUCAGUGGUGGAAAUGAGGAUGCUGAGGUGGAUAUAUAGACAUAUUAUGAGAGAUAAAAUUAUAAAUGAGGAUAUUCGUGGCAAGUGAAAGUGGCCUCCAUGGUGGACAAGAAAAGGAAAUGAGGUUGAGAUGGUUCAGACAUGUAAAGAGGAAAUGCUUAGAUGCCUCAGUGAGGAGGUAUGAGAGAUCGAAAAUAGAGAGUCUAAAAGAGGUAGAAGUAGAUCAAAGAAAUAUAUUGAGGAGAGAUAAUUAGACAGCACGGGACAAAUUUUCACAAAGACAAAAAUAUAAAGUGCUUAUUUUUCAUUUGCUCAAGUUUGGAUGGAAUUAUUCGGUGUUUGUGAUGGUGAAAAGUAAUAGAUACCUAAUACAAUAAUUAAAGUGUGCGCAAACUAGCUAGAAAAACUAUUUUUUUUUAAAAAAGAAAUUAUUGCCAAUAUGGUAAUGGUACAUCCCAACAACAUUGAAAAUAGACAUUAAACCAAAAAAAAUACAAAUAGAGAAGUGUGUGACACAAACACACAAUAAUUGAACUUGCAUUAUCUCUUUAAAAUAACACAAGAGACAAGCCAAAAAGGAAACUAAUAAUUAUCAACCAUUUAUUUAUUUUGAACCACAAACAUUUUACAUUAAUAUUUUUGUUACAAAAUGACCAAUUCAUCAUCACUCAUCAGUACAUGAAGGAAUCAGGAGAAGCCAUAAUAGAUUGAUUCACAUUGAGCAAAUUCCAAGGGUUCAAGAAAUCAUCUAGUUCAUGAUGAUAAUUAAUAGCUAUGUUGCUCGGACUCUGUAAACAUAUUGUCGUUGGGUGAAUGUCAGAUCCUCCAAAAGUACUAGUGCAUUUUUCGAGGCUCCGACUAGAGUUUGUGCAACUUAUGAUUUCAUUUAAAGAUUGUAGCCUUUGGUUUAACUCAACCAAUUGAGCUCUAAGAAUUGAGUUUUCUGCUUCCACAUUUAAGAAAAGAUGUGUCAUCAUGUUUAUAUUUGUUGCAAUUUGAUUGUUUUGUUCCUUAAAUUGAUUUACUUGAGAUGUUAAAUCAUCAGAAAGUUUUUGCUUCCUCAUUCUUGAUCUUCUUGCUGAUUCUCUAUUUGAUAUCAUUCUUUUUCUUUUUCUUUGAUCUAUUACUUGUUGAAGAUCUUCUUGACUUGAUCCUGAAGUAAAAGAAGCCAUAAUUCUAUAGAAUUAAUUGAUGGUGUUGGAACAAGGCAACCUCUUUAUUGGACCCUACGUGGCGCCAAUCUGAAUUAGUAGAGUCGGUAGGCUAAUUUUGUUUGGAUGGUUGAAUCACUUUUAUUGGGUCCUAUGUGAUGUGAAUGUGGAUUGGUCCGGCUUUUAAAAGGCCAUACAUAACGUGAAUCUGGAUUGGUCAGGCUUGUGGAUUCAGGAUGACAGAUGGUCAAAGAACCUUUUAAUAAAUCUUACACGAUGCAAAUCUGAAUUAGUACCUUGAGUUUGUGGAUUCUGAAUAACAGAUUGUUAAAUCACCUCUAAUGGAUUAGUUGGACUAAUUUAUUCCGGACCAAAUGGUUAAACUACAUUUAGUGGAUUCUAUGUGAUGCAAAUCUGAAUCAAUUGUAGUUCCAAUUAUAGGGAAAAAAGAUGAUGGCGUGACUAGGGAAAAGUUAUCAAUGAUGUUCUAAUGGCCCUACGCAACGCGAAUCAGAAUAAAGGUAGAAACUUUUUUUCAUGAGAACAUGUAGAACCAAUAAAGGAAGGACACAGAGAAGGAUUGGACUAAAUGUGUACCACGACGAAGAGUUGAGUUUAUGGUGAAACCGGAAAGAAGGACUUCACUAAUUAUCGGAGACAUGGAUACCAAACAUCAAGAAUCAAAGUAGAACCAAUAUGCCUUAGCAAAAAGAAUCAUGAGCAAUGUCUAGUAGAGUCUUGACGACUUAAAAUAAAAUACAAAUUGGGGAAGAUGAAAAUAAGAGAAGGGGAUAUUAUGGAAGGGGAGUUUUAGAACCUAUAUAAUAUGGAAGAGAUAAGAAAGGAAAAUAAAAUAGGAGAAGUUGAAGAGGUUUAUGGUAGUAUAGGAGAACCAUUUAUAUAGAAUUGUAAGUGCCCAUUGAAGGAAAUAAAAAGGUAGGAUGAGUAUAGGUCAAUUAAAUAUAAAAUUCGAAAGAGUUUUAAGUUAAGACUAAAUGGUCAAAAAUAAUAUUAUUUUUUUGUGAGUUUGAUAGCUUAACCAUUAGUUGUUGUCUUUUUUUUUUUUACAUGAACUAUUAUUAUUCAGGUAUUAAAAUACAUCUAGUUGAGUACUUGGUAAUACUUUAGGUAAGAAAAGGGAACCUAUAUAUUUGGUCUAGUCAGCUUUGAUGUGUGUUUUAAUUCAUAAAGUGAUAGCUUAGAUGUAUAUUUAAUCAUUUUUCUCUUUAUUUGGUUUGUGUGAUAAGGAAAAAUAAUCUCAUAUUAAAAUGCAGGAUUAUUUUAUCUCGAAUUUGUAUGAAUGAUGAGGUUAGUUAUCCCAUAUAGAAGGUGAGAUAGUUAAUUAUAAUAUCCUUGUCUAUCCAAUCUCGAUAACCAAACGACUCCUAAGUAUAAGAAUUUUUAUAUUAUCAAUUAUUUUUAGCUAUUGAAGAAAAUAACUUAUCUUGUUUUUGAGAUUACAAGUAUCGCAUUUUAAGGAAGCAUACUCAUUGAUAUUUUUGAAGUGACAUGAUUGUGUAAUUUAAUUUUUUAUACUGACAAUAUAUAUAAACAAAUAAAUAAAAAAGCUAUAAAACUCUUAUUUAAUUAUUCCAUAAGAUACAUAUUUCAAAAAAUAAUUUCUCGUUUAAUCAAGGUAUGACUAAAUAUUUCGGACAAAUUUUUUUACUCUUUUCUAAAUUUGAUAGAGAAUAAGUACAGAAAAACUCUUUAUUUAUAAUUUUAGUUUGUCCUAACCUAUAACAACAUAUCAUAAAUUCAUAAUCAAUACGUAGGUUACUCGAAUGAUAGCCACCCGUCACCUUUAAUAGUAUAAGGUAGUGUGUUUAAGUCAUCGAAGGAGUAAAAAGGAUGAAAAUUCCUAAAGAGAAGUUUUUUUUAAAAAAAAACUUAAAAAACAUAUUAGUUGACCGCGUCGAGUCCCUCUUGAACUUGUUCUAAAAAGUUGAAUACACACUCAAACUAUUGUGUCGAGCUAUUACAUACUUGUACUACUCCAAAAACUCAUACUAUGCUACGAUUACAAGUGUUACAACUUCUUUUAUUACAAACUUGUACUACUCCAAAAACUCAUAUAUACUACUCCAUCAAUUUCAAAUUAAUUGAAUUGUUGAGACAUUUUUCAUUUUUCAAAUUAACUUAAUUGUUCAAUUUUCAAGACUACUUUUAAAAUGUUUUUUCAAUUUUACCCUUCAUUAGUUAGUAUUGAAAUUAGUUAUUAAUUAAUUUUUAGUUAUUUUAAUCAUAAAUUUGACAGGAUAAAAAUGGAAGUUAUGCCUAAUUUAUGUCUUAAUCUUCUUUUCUUAAAGGGUGUGAAAAAUCUCAACAAUUCAAUUAAUUUGAAAUAGAGGAAGUAUGCUACAAUUAUAAGUGUUACAACUUCUUUUAUUACAUAAAUUCACUUUUAAGUAAUAGUGUAAUAAAUCGUCACAAUAAUUUGAGUGUCCAUUCAACGUUUCGGGACAAGUUCAUUAGGGAGUUGAUGUCUUUUCUCAAAUAUUUAUAUUGCAUCUUGGAUAUUGGAUAUAUUAUUUUGAUCUCGUGAAGACAAGUCAAGGAAGGCAGUCUCUCCGUUCACUUUUAUUCGUUCACAAUAAACUCCGCAGAACUAAUAAAUGAAAUGCAUAUAUUAUUAUGAUACUCAUAUUAGUUGACGCAUAAUUUUAAUGAAUUGAGAAAUUAUUUGGAAUGGACAGUUAAUGCUAUGGGCAAAACAUAAAAAAAUAUUGUCUUUAUUUUAAAUUGUUAAAAACUUUUCAGUUCUUAUUUGGUUGACUAUUCGUCUUUCUGGCUACUCUGUCUUUUGAGUUUCUUCUUCUUCUUUUAAAGUUCACUUAAUUUAUUUUUAACAUACAUUUACCAUUGCACAUUGCAUGCAUACUCUAAUCUUGAUGUCCUUAUGGAAAGAACUGAUCUUAUCAAAGCCUUGAAAUACUAUAAGGUAUAAUAUGAAUAAUUUAACUUUUAUAACUUAGUGUGUAUAUAUAAUUUAGUUUAUUGUAUUUGUGUUUUGCAUGUCUACUUUUUCAUCUACCUAUAUUGUUUCUUUGUUUUUGGCAUAAUACAUAUAUAAACACAUUAGCUUGGCGUCAACUGACAACUUUGAAAAUCUACAUUUACACAUUUUAACUUGGUUUAAGUUGCCCUCCCAUGUGAAUUCUCAUAUAUAGUGCCUAGGGGGUGUUUACGAGGUCAACUUAAACCAAGUUGAGGUAUCUAGAUCAGAGGCAGAGCUAGGUGGGGUUCAUGGGUUCGGAUGAACCCAGUAGCUUAUUCGUAAAUCUUGUAUUUGUACUAGAAAAUUGAAUAAAUAUUUAUAUGUACAUUAACUUGUGAACCCCUAAUAAAAUUGAUUGACAUGGAAAUGCUUUCUAUGCUAGAGUUACGGGUUCGAACCUCACUAUCAACAAAAAGUUAAGUUUCUCUUUUUUUAGAACCCUCAAACUCCUAAUCAUGGCUCCGUUUCUGAUCUAGAUGUGCAUUUUCAAAGUUGGAGUGUUUAGUUGUGAGUCGAGGGCUUGAGGCUAUGUGAUUUGUCUUUGUAAUGCUCUCUUUUUAUGGUUCAAUCCUCUCCAGGAAGCAGUCAAAUUAAAACCUAACUCCGUAGAUGAUUAUUUGGGCAUGGGAAAUGUAUACAAGGUAAGUCCUCUUGCAUUUUGUCAAUAAAGUGACGAAGCCAGUAUUUUCACUAAGAGGGCUCAAAAUAUAAAAAAAUAUUUUUAAUCUUGUAUACAAAUUUAGUUUCAGACGAAGGGGAUUUGGAUGAACCCCUUGCGCCCUCCUAGCUCCGCCCCUGCCCACAAGUUCUUGCACAAGUGAUAUACAAAGAUAAGCAUCUUCAUUGCAUUUUUCAGGAGUUGGGAAUGCUCCAAAAGGCCAUAGUGUGUUACCAGCGCGCAAUCCAAGCGCAACCAGAUUAUGCAAUGGCUUUUGGUGAGACGCCACGUUUACUCUGUUGAGUCCUACUCUUAUAUAGUCUUGGGCAAUCCUCACGUCUUGAGCUAUCUUUGCAGCCUACUUGGCUGAUGUAUACUAUAAACAAGGAAAUCUUGAAAUGGUAAUACGUAAUUAUAGGAGAGCUAUUGCCCGUGAUGCAGAAUUCUUCGAGGCAUAUAACAAUAUGGUACUUAAUUAGUUCAUAAAAUUCCUAUCAUAUAUUAACAUUUUCUUCCUAUAUUAAUUUUGUAUGAUCUCAAAAAUGUUGCUUCUAGGGUCAUGUUCUAAAAGAUGCUGGUGAAGUGCAGGAAGCAAUUCAUUGCUAUCAUGUAACUUUGUGCUUUGUCAUUUGCUUUAAUUUCCUUAUUGUUAAUCUGCUAUGUGACACUUUUUGCUUUUCGAUAAUCAGUUUGACUAAUCGUUGAAGCUAGAGCAGCUCAAUAGUUUAAAACUAAAAUUCUGAUAUUGAAAAACCAUUUGAUAAGUACUAUAAAUUGCAAUUCUUCACAUGUUAAUGUGAUGAAUAGAUACAUUUUAAAAUGUCGGUCAAAUUUCACGUAGUUUGAAUCUCCAGAAGUGAAAAAUGUCACAUAAAUCGGGACAGAAGAAGUAGUUUCUGAUGAAUGCAUGAAGCAAUGCAUUUAUGAUGUUUUUCAACUUUUCUGAUGAAUGCAUGCAGCAAUGCCUCUCUCUUCGAACUGAUCAUCCAGAAAUACUAUCCAAUCUGGGAAACGUUUAUAUGGAGCGGUAAGAUUUUGCUUAACAACAUCGAUUCUCUUCUGGACUAUAUAUGCCAAUCUAAGUAAUUUCGAUGAGCUAUUCAUAUUGACUCUAGGAACAUGAUGAGUGCUGCUACACAAUGUUAUAAAGCUAGUUUAGCUGUCUCAACAGGGCUCUCAACUCCUUUUAAUAAUCUCGGCAUAAUAAAUGUGCAACAGGUAAAUAUUUAGUUACUACAUCCCAAGAAUGUUUAAUUUGCAAAUCAGUACAAAGCAUUUCUUGUACAUUUUUUUGGAUAGCUAGGAGGGACUAUCUUAUUUACGAUCACUAGUGCCAUUUGUGUAUCUGUUUUUUUUUCCGCAGACAUGAAUGUUUUCGUCUUUUCUGAUGUAAUUUUAAGCGAAAUUAUGCACAAGCCAUAUCAUGCUUUAAUGAGUUACUCAGAAUAAACCCCAUGUCAACUAUACGAGAGCUAUUGCCAUAAGACCAACCAUGGAGGAUGUUCAUGCGUUGUUGGCUUCAGCUUACAUGACAAGGUUUUGUUGUUAAGGUUUACAAGCUUCAAAAUUAAAUGGUUCCUUUUAUACAUAAAGUUUUGAUUUUCGGUGUAGUGGCAAUGCUGAAGCAGCUAUAAAAGGCUAUAGAAAAGCUUUGAUGCUAUGUCCUGACUUCCCCGAAGCAACUUGUAAUCUUCUUUACACGUUACAGGUACGUUAUAGGUACUUAUGCAGUUCAUUUAGAAUUCAUGUCAUGAUCUGUUUGCUUAGUCUGAUUAAGAUUCUUGUUUAUAUUUCGUAUUUUCUAGUGUUGUUUGUUAGGAUUUGAAACUUUUAGAGAAGAAAAUAAGGUUCAGCAGCAGAAACUUUCAUACAUAUUCAGCUUUUGAAAGCAUACACACAUAUAUCUACAUAAGCUUUCAAAGUUAGUAGAGGACCAUACAUAUCCAACCACUAUUGACUUUCUUACAAAACAUAUUCCAUAAAACAAGGACUACCUUUCCUUUACAUACUUAACAUAAUAUUUAAGAAAAUAACAAUUAAACAAAAAGACAUCUAGAAAUAUCUCAUUUUCUAACAC